AAUUAUAAAAUUUAUUUUUUAGGUACUUCAAAUACUCUAGAUCAAGUUUAACGGGUCGAUCAACGAUUCGAAAGUCGCAACAUCGAAAACGACCUGGAAGCACGAGAAAGUCCCUGCUUCCAAAAAGCAUACUAGCUCACCACUCUCUCGUCUUCUCUCUCUCUUAUCUCUCUUCUUUGUAUAGUAUAUAUAUAUAUAUAAUAUAUAUAUAGUAUAUAUUAUGCGAAGGCGCAAUCGAAACGACCUGGAAGCACGGAAGCUCCGUGCUUCCAAAAGCAUACUAGCUCAUCUCUCUCUUCUCUCUCUACUCUCUCUCUCUAUAUAUAAUAUAUAUAUAGAGUUGAGCUGAAUACUAUCGGUAGCAAACGCGUCAAACAAAUGUUCGAACUCCAUUGUUGUUUCGCUGAUGGACCUCCAAAUCAGCGAUCGGGCACCGGUUGAAAAUGAUCUAUACCUUGAAAUAUCUAGAAUCAAUUUCAUGCUUUCUCUGAAUUUUUAUUUUUUUUUGUUCUCUUUCUCAGUUGCGUAAAAUGAACGAUGAAAAUGAAUAAUGCUCUAAAAGUGACCAAUAGAAAUUUUAUAAUCAAAAUCAGAAUAUAGAUCCUUGUUUCUACAUAGUUUAAAGAAUGUUGUCUAACCAAAAAUUCAAUUGAUUUGGAUAGUUUUUACACAGUAUUAAGAGAAAAACGUCUCAAUAUCUACCAUUAAAAUUAUAAUUUGAACUCUUGAUCAUUAGGUUAAUGAUAUCGAAAAGAUUUUGAAAUUUGAUUUCUAAUAUUUCAAGUGGUAUAGAUCAUGUUUUAAUCGGAUGGCCGAUCGUCGAUUUGGAGGCUCUUAUCUCAAAAAUAAAUGGGUGGCAAUAGAGCCGUUGUUCUGUUAUCGAUAGUAUUCUAGUCCUAUAUAUAUUAUAUAUAUGUAUAAUAUAUAUAUAUAUAUUAUAAUAUACUAUAUAGUAUAUAACUAUAUAUAUAUAUAUAAUAUAUAUAUUAUAGCAGGCGCUGCUGUGCCAUAUUUCGUAUGAAUGCGAAUUGUUCGAAUCGACGAUCGGCUUCGCUCUAGUUGUUGAUUCUAGAGUAUUGUGAGUUUCUAGAAAUUAGUUUUUGCCAGAUUUUUUCGAUAUAUUUACCUAUGUGAUCGAAAGACUUCAAAAUCAAUAAUUUUUUAAUAGUUGAGUAUUGCCUUUCAGUUUAUGGUGUAGAAUGUAUUCAAAUCAGAUGAAAUUUCGAUACAAAUUCUUUAUACUAUCUUACACAAGAUUCAAUAUUUCUGGUCAUCAAAAAUUUACAGUGGUAUAUCAAUACUUUUUAUUAGGAUUUAUUUUCAGCCUUAUAAAAAUUAUGAUUUUGUUUGCAAAUUGUAGGUAAAUGAUUAUCGAAAAUAAUAAAAAUAUUUUCUAGACUUCACAUACGCUAGAUUAAGUCUAACGGAGCCGUAUCGUUCGAUUCGAAAUUUCCUCAUCGAAACCGCCUCAGAGCAGAAGGUCUCAUGCAUUUUGAGAGCACAACAGUCCUACUAUUAAUAUAUAUAUAUAUAUAUAUAUAUAUGAGAGAGUUAAAGUAGAAAUACUAUCACAUUACAAUAAAAAUGAUAUAUAGCGACACUUUUAAAUAUCGGUACAUAUUAAAAAAAUAUUGUUAGCUAAAUUAUCAAUACUUUAUAAAAGUGUUGCUAUAUAUGGGAUCACUAUAUGUGGGGCCACCUCAAUGUUUGAUACUCACUCCUCUAGCAAUCUGUGGCGGACGAACACGUAGCGAUCAUAACCCUCUACGAUCUUUGUGAGAUCCUCAUUACCGAACUCCAACCUUCAGAAUAUUACCUCGUUGGCUGCGAAGGCGAGGGAAGAGAAGGGGAGAUGGUGAUCAAUUUUUCUUUCUUUUUUUUUCUUUCUAUUUGUAAUCGGGCCGAGUGGGCUGAGUGGGAUUGGUUAAGUAGAGUAAUUUUUUAUUUUUAGUAAGAUUGGGCUUUAUAUUUAGGCUUUAAUAGAUUUUUUAAAAUUUUUUUGACAUAAAUAGAACACUUUCACAAAAAUAUUUAAAAAAUGUGUCCCUAUAAUCUAAUUCUGUUUAGUGUCAGUAGCAAACAAAUAAUAUCAAUAGCAAAUGGGUUUUAGUGCCAUUCAUUUACUUUUGAUGAUGGAAUCUCUAAAUUGACGAUCGACAUCAUUCAAUAUGAUCUAUACCACUUAAAAUAUUUAAAAACCAAGUUUUAAAUCUUUUAGACAUCAUUAGCCUAAUAAUCAAAGGAUUUCAAAUUUUAUAAUUUUAUUGGUCAAUAUGAAAUAUUUUCUUGUUUAACAGCAUAAAGAUAUUCAAAUCAAUUGAAUUUUGAUUAGAAAAUUCUUUAAACUAUUUAGAGCAAGAUCUAUAUUUUUUAUUUUAAUUACAAGACUCCUAUCAUCACUUUUUAAAAAAUAUGUAUUUUCAAUCAUUUAUUUUUAUGUCUACUUGAUGGAUAAGAAAAUAAUAUCGACAAAAAUAUGAAAUUUAAUUUCUAGAUGAUUCAUGCGGUAUAGAUUAUAAUCAAUAGUGUCGAUCGUCGAUUUGGAGGCUCUAUCAUCAAAAACAAAUAGGUGGUAACAAAACUCUUUGCUACUGAUAGUAUUCCAACUCAACUCUCUCUCUAUAAAGAGAGAGAUAUGUGCUACUAUAUUCUUACGAGUAUAGAACCGUUCGUAAUCAUAAGUUGUUUUCGAUGAUGGAGCUUCUGAAUCGACGAUCCAUUCUAUUAAAUAUAAUUUUGAGUAUUUGAAAUUUUUUUUAAAAAAAAUUUCAUAAUUUUUCGAAAUCAUAAUAAAGUCUUUCAAACGGACAUAAAAUGAAUGUACGAUAUUUUAAAAAUAGAUGAUCGGAUCCUUCAAUUUAUGAUUAGAGCUAUUGAUCUUUAUCUAAAUAGUGAAUAGAAUUUUUUAUCAAAAAUUUAACCAAUUCUGUUUUUUUACGCCAUUAAACUAGCAAGCAUCCUAUACCGACCGCUAAAAAUUAUCAAUUUUGAGAUCUUUUUAUCGUAAAGUAAAUGAUGACAAAAAAUUAUAAAAUUUGAUUUCUAAAAAUUUUAAAUACUCUAAAUAACAUUUAACGGUAUGAAUUGUCAAUUCGGAAGCUCUAUCAUCGAAACCGAUUUAUGAGUACGAAGGGGUCGUACUCAUAAGAAUUGAGUUGGAAUGCUAUUAGUAGCAAAUGAGCUCUGUUGCCACCCACUUGUUUUCGAUGAUGGAGCCUCCAAAUUGGCGAUUGGCACCGUUGAAUAUAAUCUAUACCACUUGAAGUAUUUAAAAACUAAGUCGACAUCAUUGACCUAAUGAUCAAUGGGUUUCAAAAUUUGUAAUUUCAAUGAUUGAUAUGAGGUGUUUUCUAGUUUAACGGUAUAAAAAUAUUCAAAUCAAUUGAAUUUUGGUUAGAAAAUUUUUUAAACUAUCUAGAACAAAAUCUGUAAUUUUGAUCUUAAUUACAAAACUCCUAUGAUCACUUUUAUAAGAUAUUCACUUUCAGUCAUUCAUUUUUGUGUCCACUUGAUCGACAAGAGAACAAUAUCGAAAAAGCAUAAAAUUUAAUUUCUAAAUGCUUCAAGUGGUAUAAAUCGUAUUUAACAGUACCGAUCGUCGAUUUGGAAGCUCCAUCAUCAAAAAUAAAUGGAUAGCAUAGGAACCCGUUCGCUACCGAUAAUAUUCCAGCUCAACUCUCUCUACAUAUAUGUGUGUAUAGAGCUACUAUACUAUCGGAAUUAUAGAGUAUUUGAUGCUUCCGACUUUUUGACUCUCAGAUAAAGAAUUAUACGGUUGAGAUGAUUAUGGUCCUCCCUAGAGUUGAAUAGUAUCUUUAGGGUUGAGUGAUCCUCAUAAAAUAAUAGUAUUAAUCUAAAAGUUAGAAAUGGUCAAAGAAGUCGAUCUAAGAGCAAAAAAAAUCGAAAGCACUAUAUUCUUUAUAAUUUCAAUAGCAUUCUCUCUCUCUUUCUCUCUCUCUCUCUCUCAUCUCUCUCUCUAAUAUAUAUAUAUAUAUAUAUAUAGAGAGUGAUGCUACUAUGCUAUCGGAAGCACGGAGCUUCCGUGCUUCCAGCUCGUUGCAAUGUUGACUUUUGAAUUAUCGAUGCGUCUCGGUUAAACUUGAUCUAGAGUAUUUGGAGUACUAGAAAUAAAUUUUAUUAUUUUUCGCAUAUCAUUUGCCUAGUGAUCGAAUGCUUUCAAAAUCAACAAAUUUCAAUGGUCAUAGUGAGCCGUUUAGUUCAAGUUUAACGGUGUAGAAAUAUUCAAAUCACGUAAAUUUUGAUAGAAUUCUUUAUACUAUAUAAACAAGAUUAAUAUCUUUGAUUUAAAUUUUAAUGGAUCAUAUAUUACAUUUUGUAUAUUUUUAUUUUUCAGCCGUUUGAUUUUGACCCCUUCGUUCACUAGGCAAAUGAUAUCGUAAAUCAUAAAUUUGUAUUUCUAGCUACUUCAAAUACUAGAUCAAGUUUAACGAAGCGUGACGAUUCGAAAUGCGCAACAUCGAAAACGAGCUGAAGCACGGAGCUCCGUGCUUCCGAUAGCAUAGUAGCCUCAUCAUAUAUAUAUAUAUAUAUAUAUAUAUAUAUAUUCACUACUGUCACUCAAUUAAACAUGGCUACAACCACCUCCUCCUCCUCUCUCUUCCUCAUCACCGUAAAAUCCGAACCGGCUGAGCCGGUGGAUCCGGAUCCGCCCCCGGCUCUCGACGGCAUAGCGGCAGUGGUGGGAUACCGCGCGCUUUUCGGAAAUCGGCCGAAUUCGAGAGAUCGAAAAAUUAUCGAACCGAACGCAGCAGCCACUACCGGCAAAGAAAAAGAAGAAGAAGAAGAAGAAAACGAUAAUGAUGAUGACGAUCCUCCUCCUCCUGCUGCAGGUGCUGCAGGUGCGGUUGCGAGGGGGUAUAGAGGGGUGAGGAAGCGGGCGUGGGGGAGGUGGUCAGCGGAGAUACGGGACCGGGUGGGCCGCUGCAGGCACUGGCUCGGCACCUACGACACCGCCGAGGAGGCCGCCCGCGCCUACGACGCCGCCGCCCGCGGCAUGCGCGGCUCGAAGGCGCGCACCAACUUCGCCAUCCCCGACGCCCGCUACAUCCCCACCCCGCUCUCUUCCUCCUCCUCUUUGUCUUCCACUAUUUCUAGUACUCCGUCGAGGAAGAAAAAUAAGUGGACGAAAAACAAGAAAAAGAAAGGAGGGAAGAUAUCAGGUGGGCCUUCUAGGGUGGUGACUUCAUUCGCCCAAAUUUUUAGCUCUCCUGCCGGCGGCGGCCAUGGAAGCAGGAAGCGCUGCAUCUGCAUGCCCCGCUCUAACUAGGUUUUUCUUUUUCGUUUUUGGUUUUUGUUUUUUUGUUUCUUAAAAGUGUUGGGAUCGAAAUAAAUUUUAAUUUGGAAACUGCUAUUUGUUCACCUACUUAUUAUAAACGUAAAUCUUACAUCUUAAAAUGUUUACAAAAUCGCAGUUUAUAGAAAAUUGAUAUGACAAACAGAGAAUUUGAAUCUUUUGGAUAGAUGAAAGAAGUGUAAGAUUUAAUAUCUAAUUAGGGAUGUCAAUGGAUAUGGAUAUCCAAAAUUUUAUCCGAACCCGAAUUCGAAUGAAACGGAUAUAUUCGAUGAAUAUGGAUAUGGAUUCGGAUAUAAAUUUUGAUUGUACCCGAUCCAAACCCGAACCCGAUCCGAACCCGAAUUUAUUUUGUAUUAUAUAUAAUAUAUAUACAAAAAUUUGAUGUUAUAUUUGAAUUUGUAUUUUAAAAGUUUAGAUUUAAUAUAAUAUAUUUUGAAAUAUUGAAAAAAAAAAUAAUUGUUUCGGGUUCAAAUUUUCGGGUUCGGGUUCAAGUUCGGGCUUCGGAUUUUUGGUCGGGUUCGGAUUUGGAUAUGAAUUUUUAAAAUCCGUCGGGUUCGGAUUCGGGUCUCGGGUUUGGAGUCGGGUUCGGGUUCGGAUUUUUAAAAAUCCGUCCGAAUCCGACCCGUUGACAUCUCUAUAUCUAAUAUAAAUUUUGUCUUACCGAUGCAUGUUUUACAAUGUGGAGUACGAGAUUUAUUUAUACACUUCGCGGAGAAAAUAAUAUUUUUUUUUUUUUUUUCCAAAAGAGUCUUAACACGCUUGCGCACUGUUUGGAUGUGUCCUAGUAUGGGUCUUGUAGAAUAACUUUGCAGAAAAAGCUCGCUUGAUUUAAUUAAAAUCGGACUGCUGCACUGAUCCGAUACUUGAACCGCCAAUUCAAAAAAGUCAAAGCAGUUUUUUUUUUUUUAAUUUAUCUGGUUCAAAAUAUUGAAACGGUCAUUGUCAGGACAAUCAAAUUAACGAGUUUGACCUAAUUUUUAAGUCAUUCAUUAUAACCACUGAGAACACGGUUGGUUCAAAAUUGAAAUUGGAAUAAGAAUGGAUAAGAAUUGAAAAAACAUAAUAAUAAAAUCCUUCAAUAUGUUUGAUUUAGAAGAGUAGUUCAUUCCUUUUUUUAUUGUUUGGUUGAGAGAUGAAAAAAAAUUGAUUAUCAAAAAAAUUAAAAUAAAAUUUAAAUUAAAAAUAUAAAAUAUAAAAAAAAAUUAAAAUUAAGUUUGCAACCCAAAAUAUAGAAUUUUAUAAUUCAAAUUUAAACUAAAAAUUAAAUAUUAAAAAAUUUACAUCAAGAUUUUAAAAUGAUGUCAAAAUUAUAAAUAUAAAUUUUAAAAAAAUAAAAUAAAAUUUGAAAUUGAGUGGAUAAUUCAAAAUAUAAAAUUAAAUUUUGAUUGUUUCAAAUUCAAACUUAAAAUUGUGAUUUAAUUUCAAUUUGAAUCCAUAGGAAUUUAAUUUAAAUUUUAAAUAAGUUAUGAAAUUUGAAAUUUAGAUUCAUAGAUCAAGUUCUUUGAAUUUUUAUUUUGUAUUCAAGUUCAAAUUAAAAUUUAAAAUUAUAAAUUUAAACUUAUAUUUUAAAAAAUAAAUUUAAUUUGAACAAGCAUUCAUUCCAUCUGGAUUUAGCUUCCAAAUAGAUCUCCUAGCCCGGAAUGAAAAAAUGGAUGAUUGGAAAAUUCUCAUUCCACCCAAGAUUCAGAAUUAGAAUGGUACUCCCGCACACCAGACAUCCACAAAUCAAAUUGUGCAUUUUGAUUUUAUUUUCUGGAUAAAAAAUAUACGAACCAAAUAUAUUCUCAAAAGUGACAUAAGGCCUAAGAGGCCGAAUACAAAAUUUGUAUAAUUAAGAGGUCUCAAUGCAUUUUUAGCUAUCUAGAGAAAAUAUAAAUAUAUUAUUAUUAUUAUUAUUAUUAUUAUUAUUAUAUAAAACCGCAACACAUGUGCUGUACAAUCCCAACUGUCACAAGUGGGCAACACCCCAACAUUUUUUUUUUUUUCUGACAGAUAGAAAUCCUCCACGUCAGCUUCUCAACUCUGACUCAGCCGGCCUGUCUUCAUCCAAUUCGUUGGCGACGCGUUUACAGAUCCCCCUUCGCCUCCCCUCUCUCCCUAUAUUUAUAUGCAUAUUAAUUCACUUUAUGAUCUCACAUAGGCAUCUCUUAUUAUCUUUACCGAUGACUACUCUUCAUCAGGCAAUGCCCAAUAAAGAGUUUGCUGAAGCGUAUGAAGGCGAGCUCAGAACGCCGGAGGCUCACUGCUUCAAUUUCACGUGCUUCUGGCCGAUCGGUCUCGAGUACAGGCAACUGCUUCACGAAGAUUGCGCGAAGGAGAAGGGAUCGCUCGAGGAGAGAGGGCGAAGGGGAAAGGAUAUUGCGGCGCCCCAGUCUGUGGCGCGGGCCAGGUGGAAGUCUGUGGUGCACGACAUCGGUCGGCAGAACAGUAACACCAGUAUCACGAGGCGAAGCAGGCGGUCGUUCAGCUACGACUUGAGGAGCUACGCCUUGAAUUUCGACGAAGGGGACGAUGUCGGGGCUAGGAUUACGGCCGUCGGCGUCAAUGCAACACGACGAAUAUAAGAUUGUGUACAUAGAGGUCUUGUUAUUUUGAUUGAUUAGCAUGCAAAAGCAAAAAAAAAAAUUUUCAAAUUAUUGUUUUAAAAGUUUUGUUAUAACUUGUAAUUGUUGGAUGGAUUGAUUAUUCAUUGCUGUAAUUGAUUUUGCCUAUUUGAAUAAUUUCAUGAUGCCAGAUGUUAUAAAUUGGUAAUGUGCAUUAUAGAAAUAAUAUUGAUAGUUACAUGCAAAAAGAGAAAAACAAAAACUAUCUCUCAUAAAUAAAGUGAAAUAAUAAUAUACAUUAGUUUGGGAAAAAGAAUUUAAUUUGCUUUUCAUAUUGUGAAUUCAAUGAGGCGUCAACUUAACCUAUCGAAGCGUCAAUUAAGACACUACUUCUAAGAGAUAAUGCUCACUUAAUCUCAAUUUUAAUUAUAUUAAUUAAUGCACACCAUCUCUAAUGAUGGACAUGUAGACCAACAAAAUGAUCAAGAUCAUAAUUAGAAUCAAUAAAUUAAGAUGCAUCAAAACAACAAAUUAAGAUGGCCAUAAUUUAAUUAGUUCCCCUACAGCUAAUUAAUUUCUUAAACUAAUGCCAGCUAAAAGGCAUGCAUUAAUUUAAAUGGGUUUCUAAAAAUUAUGAAUUAUGGGAAGCACGAUGCAAUACAUUUAUAAAUGCAUACGAGAUGUUCCAACUACCAAUUUUGCGCAUCAAGCAUAUGUGGUACUACGAAUUAUCAAAGUUUCUCCGAUGCUUUUUUUUUUUUAGUGUAAGGUAGCUCGCUACCCGUUUUAUUUAAAAAAAAAGUGAAUUAGACUACAAGGGUGAGGCAUCCAAGGCCUCGGAAAGAAAACAAAUGCUACGGAAGGUGGGGCUGAAUUGCUGGGAGGAGAUGAUCCCAAGACUUCAUAAGUGACUUCAGCUUGUGGGCGGCUAGCAGGGGGUCUGGCCAGACAUUUCAAAAGAUCGACCCAUUUCUGGCCUCCCAAAUGACCCACCAUUAGACUACUAGAGCUGAUACUCUACUAGAUACUGGCCGCAGUCCUUUCUUGCUCGUCCAUCUGUCCCAGACCGAAAUAUUAUCAUUUUCCAAAUCCCCGGGCAGGACAUCUCCCACACCUGUCACUAACAGGAAUUUCGUAAAAACGCACUGUGUGAAAUGUGAAUAGAUGGUCUACGAUUUCCUCUUCGGUUCCGCACAGCACAUAGGCAGUGUCUCCGGUCCAUCCUCUCUUUAGUAGAUUAUCUGCAGUAGGAGUUCUCCUCUUAAGGGCGAGCCAGUAGAACACUUUGCAAGAUCUAGGGUUUCUCCAUUGUUUGAUGUGAUAAACGUAUAGACAUUCUGCUUAUCAUUAGGGUGCGUUUGGUUCAGGUUAUCCUAACAAGAUUACAGACAAUUCUGUCAAAAUUAUUGAGUUUGGUUCAUUCAGUAUGUAAUAUAGUCAAUAAUAUAGUAUUACAAAUAAAACAGAAUUAUAUCGAAAAUAUUACUGAGCCGGGGUGGGUAUCUCGUAUUACUAAUGUCGGAUUAUUUUGCAUAUAUGAAAAAUUACAACUUUAUCCCUCUGAAUCCCAAACCCUUUCAAUACGUCAUUUUUUAAAUUUUAAUUUUAAAUUAUCAAUUUUUAAUUUUUAUUUUUAACUUUUAUUUUAAAUUUUAAAUUUUUAAUUUUUAAUUUCAAACUUUAAUUUGAAAUUUGAAGUUUUUAAUUUUUAAUUUUUAACUUUUAAUUUAAUUUCUAAUUUUCAAUUUUAAAAUUUUUAAAUUUAAAGUUUCAAGUUUCAAAUUUCAAUUUUUAAAUUUAAAGUUUCAAGUUUCAAGUUUCAAGUUUCAAAUUUUAAAUUUUAAAUUUUAAACUUCAAAUAUAGAUUUUAAAUUCUAUAUUUUAAAUUUUAAAUUUUAAAUUUUAAAUUUUAAAUUUUAAAUUUAUAUUUUAAAUUAAACUAUUAAAUUUAUGUUUUUGUUCAAAUUUAAAUUUACAAAUUUCAAUUUUAUAUUUUAAAUUAAAAUAUUAAAUUUUAUAUUUUUGUUCAAAUUUAAAAUUUAAAAUUUAAAAAUAAAAUGUAAAUCCAAAUAUUAAUUUAUGUAAAAUAAAAUUUAGUAAAAAAAUUAUUAUUUGUAAAUAGUAAAAAAUUUUGCCAAAUAUACCUAAGGGCAAUUUUAGAACAGAUUACACUUUCUUGUCAGAAUUACUUAAUUUUAUAAAGUAAAUUAAACAUAAUAAUGUUAUAUAUAUUGCAAUCCAAUAUUAUAUUACUGUAUUAAACCAAACGUGUUAAUGCAGCAUCAUUCAGAAAUCCAAAAUACCUGAAUAUGUUGAAAUAAUCUGUAAUAUUAAAUAACGCGAAUCAAACACGCCCUUAGAGGUUUGGCGAGUGUGUAGCUUUGAUGUAAAUUUCAAUUUUUAGCCACGCUAGGUUAUCUAAAUUUUAUCAAAUAGUUCAAUAAAUAGGGUAAAUUGCAUUGUUAACUCUGAACUUUUGGCGAAGUUUCACUUUACCCCUCGAACUCCUAAAAUGGACAUCUAACACCCUAAACUCUAAUAUUUCAUUCAUAUUACUCCUUCCGUCAGUUUUCCGUCAAGCUCCGUUAACAGGAAACUGACGGAAGGGGUAAAACGAAUGAAAUAUUAGAGUUUAGGGUACUAAAUGUCUAUUUUAGGAGUUUGGGGGGUUAAGUGAAACUCCCCAAAAGUUCAUGAGGUAGCAGUGCAAUUUACCGUAAUAUGUUACUUAUGGAUUGACUACUAACCCUCAAAUUAGUGAUCAUGCUUGAUUUUAAAUUUUUUUAUAUAUUUCUAGGGUUAAUUGCAUACACGUCCUUGCAAACAUAGUGAAUUGCAGAUAUAUCCCUGCAAAACUCAACUUUCAUAAUUUGUCCCUGCAAAAGUCCUAAUGUAUUCAGAUAUGUCCCUCUGGUUAGAAUCCGUUAGAGAACUGUUAAUUUUUUAACAGUAUGCUCAUGAAAUGACCUUUUUGCCCUCACAAAUAUGUCCCUCCAAAAGGACUCCCUCUUUCUCUUUCUCUUUCUCUUCGGGCCGUGGGAGCGGACGACAGCGGUGGCGCUUCGGCAAGGUCGUGGUCGGGUUCGCCGGCGACAAAGAAGAGGGAAGAAAAAAGGGGAGAGGAAGAAGAAGGGGAAAAAGGAAAAAUGAGAGGAAGAGGGAGAGGAAGAAGGAAGAGGAAGAGGGAGAGGGUUCGCAGCCGCCACCGCAUCUCCUCCCUCGCCGGCGACGAAGAAGAGGGAAGAGGAAGAGGGANGCGGCGGCGGCGGCGCGGGGUUGGGUUCGCCGGUGACGAAGAAGAGGGAAGAGAAAGAAGGAGAGGAAGAGAGAGAUGAAGAGGGAAGAGGAAGAGAAAGAGGGAGAGGGUUCGCCACCGCCGCCGCAUCUCAUCCUUUGCCGGCGACGAAAAAGAAGGAAGAAGAAAAGGGAUAGAAAGCAGAAGGAGGAAGAGGAAGAGGGAAGAGGAAGAGGGAGAGAAGAAGAAGAGGGUAAAAUUGUCAUUUCACUUAUUAAUUAACCAUGGUUAAGUAUUUUAACUAUGGUUAACGAAAUUUCUCUAAUAGAAACUAAUGGCAGGGACAUAUCUGAAUACAUUAGGACUUUUACAGGAAUAACUUAUGAAAGUUGAGCUUUACAGGGAUAUAUCUGUAAUUCACCAUGUUUGUAGGGACGUGUAUGCAAUUAACCCUAUUUUUUAUCCUAAAAUAAAUCAUACCAUAAUUUAUCCUAUAUUUUAUUGUAAUAAAAUAAAAGCGAAAGAAAUGAAUUAGAGUGGCUUAAAGAUAAAAAAAGAGCGAUACUAACUACCUACGAUGCUUGAACAUUCUACUGUCCUGAUGUACUCGCUAAUAUGGUUGAUUUACAAUAGGUGUCCUCACUCGGAUAUAGAGAUUUUAAUUCUCAGUUAAUUUUCUGUAGUACUCGUUUGCCUCUUUUAUCUUUAGAAGUAUUGUUCUCGAAAAUACACUUAUUUUCUAUGAAACUAUGAAAUGUAAUUUUAUUGUAGUAGUCUAAAUUAAAAUUUUUAUACUUCAUUUCAGCCAAUUAGAAAUUUUUAAUAUAAAAAUAUAAAAUAAUAUUUUAUAAUACUUUAGAACAGUGUUUCUAAAGAUAAAAGGGACAAACGAGUAUUACAGAAAAUUAACUGAGAAUUAAAAUCUCUGUAUCCGAGUGAGGACACCUAUUGUAAAACAACCAUAUUAGCGAGUACACUAGGACAGUAGAGUAUUCGAGCAUCAUAGAUAGUUAGUAUCACUCUUUUCUUAUCUUUAAGCCACUCUAAUUUAUUUCUUUCGCUUUUAUUUUAUUACAAUAAAAUAUAGAAUAAAUUAUGGUAUAAUUUAUUUUAGAAUAAAAAAAAUAUAAAUUUAAAAUCAAGCGUGAUCACUAACUUGAGGGUUAGUAGCCAAUCCAUAAUUAACAUAUUAUAAUAAAAUAAUUUAUAGUCAAGAGUACUACAAGGUAAAUUGCACUGCUAUCUCCUGAACUAUUGGCGAGUUUUACUUAACUCCCAAACUCUUAAAAUAGACAUCUAACACCCUAAACUCUAAUAUUUCAUUCGUUUUACCACUUCCGUCAGUUUUCGGUAAACGGAGCUUGACGGAAAACUGACGGAAGGGGUAUCAUGAAUGAAAUAUUAGAGUUUAUGGUGUUAAAUGUCCAUUUUAGGAGUUCGAGGGGUAAAGUGAAACUUCGCCAAAAGUUCAUGAGGUAACAACGCAAUUUAUCCUCAAUAAAUAUAUUUAUUUAUUUAGAAAGCCUGUAGAUAACUAUCAUUAAGCUUAAUAGUGUUACAAAUGCAAUGCAAAAGAAGUAGAUUUUAGCUGCUUCUUAUUUUGGGCCGAUUAAAUCAGAAAACUAAUUCUAAAAUUCUGAAUUUAAUUCUAAAAAAUAAUUUACCAAACACUCUGUUAAAAAAAAUCACUUUUGGCGAUAAAAUCAUUUUCCAAAAUUUAAGCCAAGUAAUUAACACCCACUAAAUCACUCAAAAACCCUCUCUCACGACACCUCCUCCUCCUCCGGUCCUUUCGCCACUCUCCAUUUUUCUAAUCAAAACUCUCUCUUAGAAUUCUUGAUGUGCAUUCCAAUUUUCAUUUCAAAAAUAAAUCAAACACUUUUGAAUAAUUCGUCGUUCUAUUUUUUAUUUCAAAACAAUCUAAUACUAUUUUUCAUUUCUAUUUCAAUCAUAAACUAAGCGUAUGUUCUGAAUGUAUUAAAUAAUUUAUGUCUUUGAUCUAUCAAAAAGUUCUGAACAUAACAGAAUGUUUAAAAUCAAGAUAAACCAAACUGGAGGGCCAGACCGACAUUAGCACGGGGCCCAAAUUAAACCAGACACUAAACAUUAAUUUAGGCCUUUGUUCGGUAGAAAUGGUGCCCCAAAUUAGUUGCUUCUCUCGGGCCCAACAUACCUAACUCUUUGUAUUGAUUUCAUUGCAACUCUCUACAGAGUUGAGCUCCUACGCUUUAUUGCUUAUAAUUUUUCGGCUGCUGAAUCAUCUCAAAAUUCGUACUAUACUAUUAAUACUAUGUUUCGUUAAAUUUUUUUUAUUAACACUGUACGUAUUUUAAAACAAUUCGAUAGUUAAAAAAAAUUUAAGCAUAUCUCUAGGGGGGCUUUUUGCAGGGGAAAAAAAGAGAGCCACAUGAUUAAUAAUGGUAGGCAAGGAGCUGUUCUUGUCACAGAAGAACCUUUCAACUAUUAAUAGCCGGUCCCUGUCGGCCAAUGACCCCAAGCAUCCUUCUACCUAGGGAUGCAAACGGGGCGGAUCCGGAGGGGGAGCUCCACCCCGAAUUCAUGAUGGGUUAAAAAAAUAUAUCUCAUAAUCCGCCCCGCCUAGUAAUCCGCCUCCCGCCUGCGCCCCGAAUUCGUCCCACAAACUAAUAUUUUUUAUAAAAUUAUAAUAUUAUUAAUAUUUUAUAAAAUAUAAAUUAAUAAUUUUUAAUAAUAUUUUAUAUAUAAUUUAAUAAUAUUAAUUAUAAAAAUAAAAAAUAUUAAUCACAAUUCAAAACAAAAAUUCAAAAGUUUCAAAUACAUUAGAAAUGAGAGUACUAACUUAUUUGUAUUUUGAACUUUUUUGCAAAUACAUUAUUUUUUAGAAAUAUUUUUUUACGGAUUCGAGGCGGAUCAUGGCGGGGCGGAUUCAGGGUCAAAAUUUCUCCUAUUUCCUGUCCCGAAUCCGUCUCGGAUCGUAAAAUUUAUUCCGUUUCCUACCCCGAAUCCGUUUAUUUUCUCCCAUUUACUGCUCCCGUCGGGGCGGAUCGGGGCGGGGGCUCCACCAACCCAGAUCCGUUUGCAUCCCUAUUCUACCCCUGAGAUACUACUGCAUGCACCCGGUGCAUAGUCCACCACACACUCUUUAAAAUUAAAAAAUUUAACUCAUCAAAUAUAUUCUGUGAUAUUCAAAAUAUCUUUGCACUAAUAAGAAGGGCAAAAUGUAAAACUCAAGGAAGUAGAUCAUUCAUGUAAAAAGUGCAUGAAUCGAGUUGUAACAUUGAGAUAGUGCAACCAACCGUUCCUAACACAAGUGGCAAAAAAUAUAGUUGUUGGUACCUGAGGUCCCAAAAUCGAGAUAGUGCAGUGACUAUACAUAAUUAUCUUAAUAAUAAUGUGGGCCUCUUGGGACUAGAUGCCUUAAUGAGUUUUCAAAGACUAUCAUUUAUAAUAAUAUAAUUUAAAUUAAAUUUUAAUUUUAAAAUAUUAUUAUUAAAUAUGAGCUUUAUUAGGGGGCAGCAAAAUUUUGAGGCCAGAUCAAAAUCGGGUCAGACAUCUAUUCCGUGUGUCUAAAUUCAGUUUGGAUUUGAAUUUCGGACAAAAAUAUUGUGCGCGAGUCAAAAUCCACGAUUUAAUAUCAGGCAUCCGGAUCCAAAUCCGGUUAGAUUUUUUUAAGCUAAAAUUCAAAAAAUAAAAAUAAAAUUUUUUUUUUUAUUUUAAACUUCUAAAUAAAAAAUAUCGUAAUCGCAUAGACAGGUUAUAUACACUUAAUUAAAUAUUAACAUAAUAAAAUUCAAAUAGAAUCUAAUUGUCUAGACCCGUGCCAGGAUCUUAAUAAUUAGUUUGGACGAAAUAAUCCGUCUGUGCCCGAUUUCUAGAUGGAACUCUUAAUUUGUCCGGAUCCGAUUUUUUUUUUUUUUUGAAUCCGAUAAGUCAACCGGGUCGGGUUGUAUUUUACCAUCCGUAAUUAAGUUCGGUGUAUGAAAUGUAGGAAUACACCCGGUGCACGCAAUAAUUAAUUUCUCCCUCACCCUCCUACCUAUCUACUCCUCUAGUGCUCAAUGGAUCACAUUAAUUCCCUGCCCAACUGGGAGUCCUACGUCUAAAGAUUCAGCUACACCUAAAAUUUCUCAGCAAAAAUGAGAGGUGUAAACGUGGAUAUGAUAUGUUGUAAUACAAUCUUAAUUAAGAUGGAGUACUAUUAUAUUAUAUAGCUUAAUUUGUUCUGUGUUUUAUUUUUUUUCACUCUUGUUAAUAUGGCGGGGAUGCUCCCCGGCGUCGAAUUCGCCCGCAAGCGGAGGCUUCGCGGCCAAGGCGGCUCGGCAGAGCUGCCGUCGGCCGGUUCGCGGCGAUCGCCGUUUUGUCAAUACAUGGCUGGAUAUGAUCAGGCUCACCUUACAACCAAUUCAAUGGUAAAUUAUCAUCUUAAUUGUAUAGAUAUAACUCUUUUAUUAUUAUUAUUAUUAUUUUAUAUAUAUAUAUAUAUUUUUUUUAUUUUUGUGGUGAUUAGCAGCGAAAUAGCUUGAGCAAAGAGCUUCACGAUUGGAGGCUAGGAAGCACAGCACGGGAGGCAAAGGAGAGGUUGGAUGAGAAGCUCAGAAGUCAGAGAGCGUCCAUCAUCGAAAGGUCUCAUGUUUAAAAUUCAUUCAAAUAUGGGGUCUAUAAAUAACUCUGCACGAUUAUCAGAAUUGGAUUGAAUAGGAUAAGAAAAAUAUUUCGCUUAAUUACAAACUAUAUAUAUAUAUAUAUAUACAACUCAAUAUAUAAUUUUGUUUUAAUCUUGAAAUUAUAACUCAUGCUUGUCUUGUCGGGAUAAAUACAGUAAGAUUACAGUAUUGGAAAGUGAGAAAGAGCUGAAUUAGUCCCAACUUUUUUGAUUACUACUAAAAUUUUCAUAUUUUUGAAGCAACAAAUAUUAUUUGCAAUUGAUAACUAUUAGUUGUAAUAAUAACUUUUUGCAGCUAACAAGAUCGUUGCAAAUUAUUUCAAUAAAUUUUGUAGUAAUAAAAGACUAAUUAAACAAAAUAAUUUUGUAUAUUACUGUGGCACAAAUUGUUGGAAUAAAUUAUAUAUUGCAACAAUUCAAUUUUUGAUGCAAUCAGGUUGAUACAAUAGAAUGAAAUUAUUGUUGUAGAUGGCAUCCUAAGUUUAGAAUUACUAGACUCCUCUUCGUCUCUAAUAAUAUAUAUCGCUCGCUUAUCUUAUUCUAACUAAUAUGAUCCUGAAUACCAAAUGCGCUCUAAAGUAAACUUGUAAUACCUGAAUAGUCUCAUGCAUAUCAGAUGAAAAAAUAAUUUUGAUUGGAUUAUUAAUUAAGAAGCCUCGUAUCUUAAUAAUAAUAAAUGAGAGCUUAAGUAUUUUUGACCGGUGGUUUGAAUCCAACAAAUUAUUAUUACAUUUUAUUUUAGAGAUAAAUAGCAUGCUACCGCUUCGUUUAUUUCAUUUAGAAAUAAACUUAGUUAGAAAUGUAAAUCAAUUAGGAUUUGAACUUGGGAUCUCGGAUACCAACCACCAAGUCCUUUGCCACUUGCACUAGAUAUAGUUGGUAACGAGUUAUUAUUACUAGCGGGUUAGGUCGUUGCAAAACUAGCUUCUUCUCAAUACUUAUGCUAGUUUUCUUAUUUCUUAUACAUGUACAACAACAGGCAUCACAGUACGGGGAGCUUAAGAUCCAAUAAGACUUCGAGUCGCGGUUGCAGCGGCAGCAGCGAUGACGGAGGCGGUGUGGCGCCAUCGGGAGUCGGGAGUCUACAGAGAGAAGUUUACUCGGUGAGGAAGAGCGCGAGGAGGUUCAACUGGAGCAAGUUGGGGUGGGAGGCGGCGGAGAAGGCGGAGUGCGCGGUUUGCCUGGAGGAUUUCAGGAGGGGGGACAUCCUCGUCCACCUCCCCUGCGCCCACCGCUUCCACUGCAGCUGCGUCGUGCCAUGGCUAGAGACCACCCCGCACUGCCCCAUCUGCAGGACGUCGAUCUUCGCCUAACUAUCAAUUUUUCCGCAUCGUGCCUUCGAACAUUCUGUGCAUCGAUAGUUUUUUUUUUUUUUUUUGAGAGAUAGGUAGCACGCUAUCCGCUUGGUUUAUUUCAUUUGGAAAUAAACUUAGCUGGAAAUGUGAAUCAAGUAGAAUUCGAACUUGGGUCUCGGAUACCAACCACCAAAUUCUUUGCCACUUGUUCUAGGGACGGUCGAUUGUGCAUCGAUAGUUUUAUAAAGUAAUUUACUAUAGUUUGAAGAGCUUGUGAGGUUAGUGUAGUUAGCAUGCAUCUAAGAGUGUUGGCUUUGGGAGAAAUGGAUGAAUGUGCUUAUUUGCCAAAAAAUAAUGAUAGUAAAAAAAAAAUUUAAAAAAAAAUCUUGAUCUAUGAUCUACUAGUUGAUGCUUUAAUUGCUCCUGUAUUGCGUUCGAAUUAUUGUAGUCUAGCUUGUGCACGUUUUCUUGAUCCAUUGCAUGCUUUUCACGUGAUCAUACUUUAUAUUACUUUUAUUUUUUAUUUUAUUAUUAUUUUUUAAUAAGAGUAGAGAAAUUUCACCCUAAGCAAUGGCUUGACGUGGUGGUGUUAUAUUCAUAUUUUGCCUACGCAUAGCUUCUUUAGCAACAUAUAAUUAUAAUUUAGGCUUAUUUUUAUUUUUAUGCACUAAUCUUAUAUAAUUGGAUAUUGUGUAUUUUUAUUUUCUAGAUCAUUUUGAGAAUUGAACCCGAUCUUGGCCUUAAAACCUAUGAUCUUGCGUGCUCGUUUCUUUAGUUACGGGGGUAUUAAUCCUAUAUUAAGAAAGUUUUGGGAGAUUUUACAAUUAAAAAUAAGGGGUUAAUUACACUAGGGACCCAAUUGAAAAUUAAUAAAAGGGUUGAUACUUUCCAAAUUACAAUGCAAAUAAAAUAAGUGAUCAACGAUCAAAAUUGCGCCUCCAAUCUCUAAUUUGUUACUGCACACUUCAUCUGAGCACGCUCAAACUAGAAGCAUUGCUUCGACCAUAUCAAGCCACGCCAUCUUAAACAAAGUGGUCCAAAUGAAUGCAUCCAUUAUUAUUACAAACAGUAGCAGUGGCUUUAGCAGAUUCCUGAUCGUGACGACUUUAGAGAGGAUUCAAUCGAGGAAUUGGGAGGACGAUGUAAGAUUCGUUUGGGAUACGUGGAUGGUAGGGAGCAGUGCACAGCUAGCUCGAACUAGAUUGAUCGGCCUGUUAGUCUGUUGAUGGGUCAUCUAAGAUGCAAGGAACAACGUUGUUUUUAGAAAAACUAACGUUGACCUUUUGUUGGCUAUCGAUAAGAUCGGACGGUUGGCGAUCCAAUGGGAUAAAUCUCUCGUCUAAACGUCAUCUUUCAUUUUCUUUUUCUUUUAACGUUUCAAUCGAGGUCUAUUACCUCACCCCUGGUGCUUAGUCCGUCUUUCUAAUAAAUAAAAUAGAAUUGUUGUUGUUGUUGUUGUUGUGUAACCUAUUUUCUUUCCUUCCUCAAGAGUUUUCCAUCUGAUCUCGGCCGAUAAUGCCCUUUUUUUCUUCUCUUCUUUUCAAAAAUAGAAUAGUUUAGAAAAUACUAAAAGAGCGUGUAAUCUCUACAAUUCUUCAUCCAAAGAUGCUUAAUUACGGUUUAGUAAAGAAUGUAAUAAAUUAGUGGAAUAAAAUGGUGUUUGGACGAGGGUGUUGUAGGAUUAAUUACAACGCCUUAAAUAGUUUUUUGUGUUUUUGUGGCUCUUUUUCAUGUGAACUUAUUGGUGAUUACUUUUGUUUAAUAUUUUUUUCUCAUAUUCUCUUUUCUUUUUUUCUCUCGGGCUCAAUAUUCAUCAGCUCGAUUACUUUGCUAUUUUAGGUAGGCUUAAGUACAUCCUACUACACUGUUUUAGUGUUAUUUUUUUGAAAAAAAAUUUAAAUACACCCCCUCUGUGGCUUAACACUUAUUCACUUUAGUGUCUUACGAUUUAAAGUGUAUCACUUAAAUAUCCUAUAAUUUUAUUUUUUUUCUUUCUGUUAACCAAUAAUAAAGUUAAAACUGCAAGGUAUUACAUAAAAAAAUCAAUAAGCCACAAGAGGUUAUUUGAAGUUUUUUCUAUAUAAAUGUUUGAAAAAUACUUCUUGUACACCCAAAAAAAAGUGUAUAGAUCAUACACCCCCGAUCUUAGAAUUAAUAAAAAUUUUAAUAAUUUUUAGUUAAAAUAAAAAAAUUGAUGUGACAAGUAGAGUAUUAAUAACCUUAGGAUAAAGUGGGUGUAAGAUGUAUACCUCACUUUAGGUGUACAUGUAGCAUUGUUCUGUAUGCUUUAAUGAAAAAAUUAAUGGAGGGCUGAUAGAAAAAGAAAAACGAAUCCAAGGGUGCUAAAAGUGAUGCACUUUAAAUCACAUGGCAUUAAAUUAAGUGAAAAAGACAGUUUUCCCUUAUUUUUAUUUGCUACGCAACAGAAAAUUUUUUUUCGAAUACACCAUUAUAUUAUUAUAUUUUGUCAAUCUCUACACUGUAAUUUAGAUUUAUUUUUAUUUUUCUAAUUUAUAUUAUUUUCUUUUUUCAUAAAUACUACUAAACUAUUUUUUUCACACCAAUUUAUCUAUUACUGUUAAUAAAACUAUUGUUUCAUACAAAAUUUAACAACUUUAUUAAGAGGUACUAGCUAAAUAAUAGAAAAAAUAUAAGAUAUCUCUAUGAUAGACUCAUUAAAUUUUUCAUCCAAUUAUUUUCAACUAUUUUUAUGUUAUUUUCAUAUAAUUUAUAUUUUGUGUCAAAAAAAACUGAAUUUAUACUCUACCACUUUGAACCAAUAUAUUUUACCAGCUUUUAUAAAAAAUUAUAGAUUUAUUGCAUAUAGUGCAGGGAUUGAAACAAGAAAAGAUAGUUGAGUGUAGGGGUGUAAACGAGCCGAACACGAGCGAGCUAGGGUCGGCUCGGGCUCGUUUAAUAAAUGAGCCGAACACGAGCUGGCUGUUAAAUAUCGAUCCGAAAAAUUCAGCUCAUGUUCGCGGCUCAUUAAUAAACGAGCCGAACACGAGCUGGCCAACGAACAAUAUAGUUAAAAUGAAUUAGAUAAAUAUAUAUAUAAAAUAAAUUUAGAUAAAUCCUACUUCAUUACGGCUUUGAUCUCAAUAGUUGCAAACUUUACCACUAUAACUGCGUUUUUCUUAUACUUCAAGCGCUUUUCAGCAUAUUAUAUGUUUCAUUUUUCGCUAACAAAUUAAAUACAAUACAAAAUUAUUAUUCUUAUAAUAACUCUACUUUUUAUACUAGAAAACAUAUUAAACUAAAUCAUACUACUACCAAUAUACAUAUAUCGUUACUUCGACUGUUAUCGAGACCAACACCAAGCGAGCGUUGACCCAACUCGUGUUCGGACUUGUUUAUUAAACGAGCUGAAAAUUCAGCUCGUGUUCGGUCGUUUCUACUAAACGAGCGAUUCAUCUCGAGCUCGUUUCGAGCCGAACCGAGCUACACGCGGGUCGACCGCUUGACGCUCGGCUAGCGAACAGCGAGCUGGAUUACCACCCCUAGUUGAGUGGUAUCUUUGAAACAAAAAAAAUAAUACAGUACCAAAAGUAAAAGAUUUGUAAAAACGGUGCAGUACAAUAAAAUUAAGCCUUUUAGAUUUAUAGGUUUGAGAACCCAUCGUUCUAUCGUUUUCUUCUCCUGCAUUAUUAAAUUUGGGAGUUUAAACUGUUAGAAAACGGUGUUUAAAUAUUUUUAUAUUUAACACUUAUUUAACACUCCCCCUCACGUCUGGACUCGAGACUUUUUAGUCGGCCCAUGACGUGGGCUUGAAUUAAAUGGGAGAAAAUUAAUAUGCUAAGAGCCUGGCGUGACUCGAACUUAGGACCUCCUACUUCGAUACCCUACUUCGAUACCAUGUGAAACAACCGUUGUACUCUAAAGGCUUAAACUGUUAGAGAAUAGUGUUUAAACAUUUUUAUAUUUAACACUUAUAAAUUAAUCUCCUAAUUGGGGCAUGCAAUUAAAAAAAAAAACAUUUAAUUUGUAAUUCGUUCCAGCAGAAAAAUAACAUUCAAUCAAAAAAAAUACUUUAAUAAUUGCAUAGAAAUAUAAGAAUAAAAUUUUUCGUACAUAGUAAAAUGAUAUUGAUUUGAUACAUAUCCUAGGUGAUUAUCUACUGUAAAGAAGAUUUUUUAUGAACAAAUUAUGACUCCAUAACAAAAAGUGUUCGCCAAUCCCUCACAAUAUGCCCUCAUUUUAUGUAAUGAUUCAAAGUAUUGUAUAAAUUUAUCAAUAUAUGCACAACAGAUAGAAAACUAUUUUAGGAAAACAAAGCAUUUUUUUUACAUAAUACUUUUAAAGUGCCCAUUUGGCGCCCAUUGUUGAAUUGGAAUAUUAAGAGAAGAAUAUUUUAGUAACUUUAAAAGCUUAUCAAAUUCGAUUAGACAGAAUAAUUAUCCGGAAAUACGUACAAUUAUCAAUUGGUUCAUACUUUUGAUCCGCGAUAAAUUAAUCUUCGUAUUGAAUCAGGGUUGUAGUGUGAAUAUGCGUAUAUACAUAGACGUCUAAAUAACUGAAUAAUUUGUUUUUUAUUUUAAGAAAAAGAUAGCAUGUUAUCCGCUUCGUUUAUUUCUUUUAGAAAUAAACUUUGCUGAAAUUUUGAAUCAACUAAAAUUCGAAUAUUUUAGUAACUUGAAAAGCUUAUCAAAUUCGAUUAGACAGAAUAAUUAUCCAGAAAUACAAUUAUCAAUUGGUUCAUACUUUUGAUCCACGGUAAAUUAAUCUUCAUAUUGAAUCAGGCUUGUAGUGUGAAUAUGCUUAUACGCAUAGACGUCUAAAUAACUAAACGAUUUGUUAUAUCUCUCUUAUCAAAAGAAUAUCGUCGUUUACAGCUAAAUUACAAAAAUAUUGAUCCUAAACUGAACGUACAUAGUGCAGUUGGUUAAGAACUUGAUAGUUGAUAUCGGAGGUCCCAACUUCGAAAUCUCGUUGUUUUACAUUUCUUGUUGACUGUGUCUUUUUUUCCGGGAGAAAAAUAUCGCAUAGAUUUCGUUCCUACCAACCAUCUCAGACAAUUACUUCAGUUUGAUUUAAUACUUUAUUUUUAUCCUAAAACGUGGAAAGAAACAUUUCAAAAACAAAUUGACAAAAAACGUGUCAUAUAAUAUGACUCUAUUGCUUCAAUUUAAUGUUAAAAUCUAGUUCAAUCACUCUCAAGCUAAGCUAUAUCCAUCUUCCUAAUGAAAGAGUACGUGUUCCAAUGAAAUUGUAACACAAUUUUAUAACUUUUUUCAUAAGUAACUGAAAUUAUGUAGAGAAGAGUACAAAUCAAGUUAUUUCACGUUCCAAGUAAUUGAAAGGUAUUGAGCAAUGAGGAAGUGACCUAUUCAUACUAGGCGGCUAGUUUUAAUGGAAAGAUACUGAGUUUGUUCGUGAUAAUAAAUAAUUGAGGUAGGUGGAUUGAGAUAUCUAUUUAUAUCUCUAUAUUAAUUUUGGCUAAAUUACAUAAAACACCCCUGUCAAAACCAGAUUUUUCACUUUCCCCCCUUGUCAUUUAAAAACCUACACUUUGCUCCCUUGUAAAAUAAAAAAUGUUCACAAGGGGGGUACGGUGUAUAAAAUGACCAUUUUGCCUCUCACCAUUUUCGUCUCCUCCCUUAUCUUCCUCAACCGCCGCCUCGAUCGGCCGCGAUUCACACCUCGAUUGGCUGCGAUUUCUCUCCAUUUUCUUCUCCACCUACUCCCCUUCUUCUCCUGCACCCUCGCCGCCCCUCAAUUUCGGCGACAAUAGGGAGGAAAUCGAGGUGGGCGCUGAUGGAGAGGUAGGCAAGGGCAACGAGGGCGAAGGCGAGGCGGCGGAGAAGGGCGAAAGGGAUGUAGGCGAGGGCUAGGACGAGGGCGAGGCCGAGGCAGUGGAGGAGGGCGAGGCGGCGGCGAAGCGGCGAGCCAGAGGGAGGCGAAGCAACAGGGAAGAGGGCGGAAGGGUAUUUUUGGUAUAAAAAAAUAUUUUAUAAUGGAAUCCUAACGGAUCACUAACGGUAGGGACUGAAGUGCACAUUUUUAUUUUACAAGGGACAAAGUGUAGGUUUUUAAAUGACAAGAGAGAAAAGUGAAAAAUCGAAUUUUGAUAGGGGGUUUUCUGUAAUUCAGCCUAAAUAUUUAAUAAAAAUUGUUGCGUGAUAUUUUUUUCUUUACUUUUGGUUGUGGGUUCCGCCGGCCAGUAAUUCAUGUUUUGAACCGAACCGUCUGAACCGCCCGUCUCUUCCUCCUUUUCUAUUUUUGAACUAAAUCGAGCUACUUUAUAAUACACUAUGUGUUAAACUCGAUUUUUCUCCGUCUUAGAAGGAUUCCUUGAUUGGCUCCUUCUUUGGACCAAACCGGCUCAACUUUUACCCUUUUUCUUUCCUUUGUUGAAUCGAAUCUGCCUACCUUAUAAUGCACUCUGCGUUGAACCCAGUUUUCUCUUCUUUAGAUUGUUUUUUUUUAUCUUCUCUUUCUUUGAGCCUAGCCUAUCACUUAUUACCCCUUCUUUUCUUUCUUUUGGGGAGAUAUUUUUGUAUGAUUAUAGCAAUUAGUGCUUUUGAGUGUACAUAUUUGUAAUGGCAAAAUUGAUAUUUCACUUAUCUGUUGUUAAAAAAUAAAUAGUUCUAUAGCGGUAACAAGCCGAAGGGACAAAUGUGAAUAUUACUAGAAAUAUGAGUUAAAAGUUGAAGUUUGUAGGGAUAUAUUUAUUAUUAGAUAUGUUUACAGAAAGCUGUAUGCAAUUAACCCUAAUUAAUAAUAAUAAUAAAGACUUUAACCACUGUUAUCUUAAAUUAAAAAAAUUAAUUUAAAAUUAAUCGCACUUACAUCUUGUUUUUUUGUAGUUUAAUUAACGAGUUUAAUUAAAACUAAAAUAGUUAAUUAAAACCGAAUAAACCAAACAGAGAUGAUCAAUUUAUUUCUCUUUGUUUCAUUUCAAUUUUUUUUGUUUAAUUUUUGUUAAAAGAAUUAUGAUUAUUGAACCGAACCGACAAAUGUUCACGCUUAAUUGAAUUCAUUAUAGAGCUCUAAUAUUAGUACACUCUAAAGAGUGGUGUAUAUUUUACACCCUCUUCAUUAAGGACCAUUAUUCUCUUAAUAAUACUUCUCAUAUUAAUAUUUUUUUUAACUAAAAUUUAUUUAAAAUCUUAUGAACUCGGAACUAGUAAUGCUUAAGUUUAAGUAAUCUUUUGUGAGACUUUUAAUUGAUUCAAGAUAUAUAUUUUAAAUAAAGCGAGAGAAUCUUAAAUAAAAUUAGAAGCUUAGUGGGAUUUAAAUUCAGAAUCUCAUAUUCUCUGUCUAGCAUUGUGAGAAGUUUUGACCUAGAAGUUGAUUUCGAUAGGAGUUGAUUAUUUGAAAUCAAAAGUCGAUUCUACAUAAAAUACUUUUAUUGUGAAAAAUGUUUGGCUACCCAAUAUAUAUAUACUAGAAGUUGUUGUAUAUAUUUUAUAAGUAAUUUAACACAUUUGACACUAAAUUAAAAAGCUAUAAAUUCAAAUUUUAAUUCUUAUAUUGUUUGAUUAAUUAAAAAUGAUAAGUGAAUAGCUUUACCUUUUGCAAUUGGCAUUCCUUAACUUCUUCUUUUUUUUUAGUUUGAGUAAUAUUAAGUGCUUAAUUUAAAAGUUUUCCGAAAUUUAUUUAUUCGAUUAGCCAUUAGCCUUUAAUUGUUUGGAUUUUAUUUGCUGAGUGGUAAUUAAAACUAUUAAUUUUUUUCAAAAUCAUCAAUAAAUUUUACUUUUAACAAAAACUAUUUAAUUUUAAAAAAUUAGGAGUUCGAAGGAUGUCAAUAGAAAAUAUAGAGUUGAGGGGCUAUAGUCAAAAGAGUCCCCGUACAUUUCUAUCAUUAAUAGGAUUUAUAAUUUUUAAGGAUAUAUUUUAAUUAGUACUAAUUCCCAAGGAUAAAAUUUCGCCAUUUAAAAUAACUAUUAUUAGAUUCCUUUCAAAUGCUAUUGUAGAACGCAUCGGAAGUAUUCGUUCGUACUUUUUUGCGGAAGUGAUUCGCAUUACAACUCGAUGAGCCCGGAUUAUCGAGAUUGAUUCACGUGUCCUUUGAUCGUUCUUUAUUAAAUCUUCUCACGUUUCAAACUCGCGAUGGAUCGAACUACAAACGAGCACGAUCACAAAUCCACCAUUUAAGUCCCUCUUAGAAUAAUAGGUUGAUGGAGAAUGUGGUUUCUCUCUUUCGUUUUUUUAUUCUCUUUUCUUUUUCCGUUAUGUGGGAUCGCCCGCAUAUUUAUAAGGGAUUCUAAAAUCCUAAUGGCGUUAGAGAUAAAGCCAAAUCGGUUAUUAAUUGUUAUCCUAAUAUGACUAGGAUUUAUCUCUAACUAACUUUCUAAUUUGAAAGCGAGAUUAAUUCCAAUCCAAUUAGAUAACAUAAUAUCCGUCGGAUCGAAUCUGUUUAUGGACGCACCCGAUUCAAUUUAACCGAAUGUCAACAACUAUAAUCAGUGUUUGCUCGAUGCUAGGAGGGGUAGCUUUAAAUACGCCACAAAAUUUAUUCUACAAGUUAUCAAACACUUCAAACAAACACUUUUGACUCUGUACUUUUUGAACUCCAAAAUUUAACUCAAACAGGCACAUCCUAUAAUAUUAGGUAAAAUAAUCUAAAGAAAUUAGAAGACAAUACUUUAUUAAUAUGCUUUUAAAAUACUUGUACAAUUAAAGAAACACUUUUCAUUCCCAUAUUGUGAAGGACAUUAUAACCAUAUACUCAAUAAAUUAAUAAAUUUCUAAAAUAUCAAUUUGUGUUUGGUGCGGUUGGAUUGUCUUUUUGAUUCCCAUAUAAUGGUUUUGAUUCAUUAGGUUAAUUGAACUAACUCGAUGUGGUCUGGUUUGACACUUCAAUACAAUCAACUAUUUAAAAGUAUUUAAGGUUUUACAUGAACAAGAUUCGGUAUCAAAAGAGGAAACUAGUGCUCAACUUCUCUUAAUCCUUGGUAGUCUUUUGUGUGUUCAUUUGUGUAAACAUAAUUUGGCCUCGAAACAUUUUGGUGGGCUCAAAAUUUACAAUUGCAUUAAGCAAGAGAAACCAUCAAUUAAAUCAAUAUAUAGUUAUAAAUCAAUAUAUAGCUAUAUCGAGCUGAACACAAGCGAGCUAACCCCAGCUCGUAUUCGGCUCAUCAAGAUUUUAAUUGAAAAAUUCGCUCGUAUUCGGCUCGUUUAUUAAACGAGCAAUCAAUCUCAAGCUCAUUUUUGAACUAAAAAUGAGUUGGCUCGUGAAGAGCGAGCUAUAUUCCCAGCCCUAAUCACAACUAUACUUCAACGUUAUAUCUUCUCUUUAGUGAAAAUGAUUACAAAACAAAAUCACAAGGCGCUAGUAUUAAAAUGUUCCAAACUAUAGAGUCCUGUUGAAGUUAUAUUUCUUAGCUAAAUUUAGAAGUUUCCAUGUUAUACAUACUUCUGACUGCUACAGUGUUGACCUUAUUUUUCCAUCUUCUACUCCACAAAAGUUUCCAAUUAACUACCAAAUUCAAACACUAAAAAACAAGUGUCAAUACAUAACAUGGUCUUAUUUUCUUUUUUCUUCUUUCUUUCUUUUACAAAUAAACUUAGCUAAAAAUAUAAAGCAAUUAGACUUCGAAUUUAAAAUUUUAGGUAUCAACUAUUAAAUUCUUUGCCACUUACACUAGAAACGAUUGAUUUGUUUUGAUAGUUUAUUUAUUUGCUUACAAUGCCCAGUUGUGCAUUAAGUUUCAUUUACAAUCAUUUCGUUCAGUUUAUAUUGCACUGCACGAUGACUACGAGAUAUGGAGGAUUAAGUUUUACAGCACACAGUAGGAAUUCUCUAUACAUAGGAAUUGUCUGAUGUUUGCACUUGGCAUGUACUCAAACAGCAACGGUCGUUAUCUGUUAAAUAUAAAAAUAUUUAAACACCGUUUUCUAAUAGUUUAAGCUUUUAGAGUACAACGGUUGUUUCACAUGAUAUCAGAGUAGGAGGUCCUGAGUUCGAGUCACGCCAUGCACCUAGCAUAUUAAUUUCCUCCCGUUUAAUUCAAGCCCACGUCAUGAGCCGACUAAAAAGUCUCGAACCCAGACGUGAGGAGGAGUGUUAAAUAUAAAAAUGUUUAAACACCGUUCUCUAAUAGCUUAAGCUUUUAAAGUACAACAGUUGUUUCACAUUAUCGAAGCCGUCGGAAAAUAACUAUUCAUCCAUUUUGUUGUUCAGAAAAUAAACCACUCAUUAGUGUCAAAAUAUAAUCUGUUUAAUCAUUCGACAGAGGCAAUUAAUUGGUAGCUUACAACAAAGAGUGAAUAAUGUAAUAACAAUUAAUAUGGGAUGAGCUCGGCUUUCCAGAAUGGGACAACUUGAUCUCGCCGUGAAGAUGAGAAACGAAUACAUCAAAAUAUAAAAGAAAGCAUGGGAAGUUUGAUCAGCAUCAGCAUCCGACGCGGAACCACCUCCUGUACAGCCUGGUCCGUUCCGACCGCCUCUUCUCGCUUCGGUACAUGGCACUUGCUCGUUUCUCUGCUGUGCCGCUCAUAGCUUCUUUCGGAUCCUUCGCCUGCAGAAAAUUAAACUAAGAAUAGAGCCAAGUGUAUAACCGAGAGUGCAUGCAGUUAUCUCGAUCGAUCGAUCACCUUGGAUUUUGGCUUGUGGGCAUGCAGCUCGCGAGCGCUUCUCUGGAAAAUGCGGCCAGUCUUCCAGGUUCCUCCUCCUAUGACUCUGCCGCCGCCCGAGCAGACAGGCUCCUGCUCCUGCUGCUGCUGCUGCUGGUGCUGCUGCUGCUGUUCUGCUUGUACGAAUACUGCCGGAAGCACGCACGAAUUAGCAUGCUCUCUGGACGUGCUCCCUGCAGCUGCAGUACUCAUGCUCCCACCUUUAUCCAAUUCGAAACUCAACUGCACGCGCCAGCGAUACAUAGCAAAUGGAGGGUCAGAUCACAUAUAUAUAUAUAUAUAUAUAUACAUAUAUAUAUAUAUAUAUAUAUAUAUAUGUAAGAUAUGUAUAUAUAUGUAUAUAUAUAUAUAUGCACGUAGUUCACCUGGCGGAUUCGGGACUCGAGCAAGUGGAGUCGGUCAGUGAGGGUCCCCUUGAGAUGCAGCUGAUGAUGAGGAAAGGCCGACGGCAUGGACUUGCUGUGGUGGUGGUGGUGCUGGUGGUGCUGGUGCUGGUGGUGCUGGUGUCGACGUUCUGCGCCCUCACCGCCAGCGGCAGGCCUUUCCUGCACCAGCUCUGCGAUGAAGUAGUUGUUGGACUGCGCUUCCGGCAGUGGGACUGGCACCCGCUGCUUCUCUUCUAGCUGCCUUAACUGCCUCCGGUUAAUCAAUCGUUGGUUGUUAAUAAUUAAUAAAGAGAGAAGAAACAAUGAUUAUAUAUGAAUGUCUUAAACACAUGCAAUAAAUCAACAAAAGGGAGGGCGGGAGUAGUGUCUAGUGUCGACCCACCCGAUGGUCUAUCUGCUCCAGCCUCCCUAGCAGGCUGUCCGGUGGAGGAGGGAGAGCGAAUGCUCCGCUCUGCAGUGCCGCUCUUCUCUCCGCUCCGAGCACUAGUACAUCACCCAUCUUUCUUUCUUUCUUCUCUAGUUCUCUCUUUCGAGAUAGAGAUUGAGAUAGAGAUUGAGAUUGAGAUAUAAGAAGGUGAUGCAAACAAAGCAGGGAAACUGGGAGAUAAAGACGGGUCGUGGACCGGGCUGGGUCUCUGCUCUUCGUCUCUUGCCUGCAGGAACCCUUUUUCAGAUCCUAACUUUUGGGGUUGUUGCAGUCAAGACGAGAGAGACAAAGGAGGGAUGCUGAAUCACACGUGGCAGUGUGGCUCUUAAAACUAUAAAACUUUCUAUUUAUUGUCAUGGUUGAUUGGCUGUAAGAUUAGCGCGAUCAAAUAAUGGACGAUGGCUUCCUAAAAAAAUCUGGCUAAAAUUAUUAGUUUAAAAUUUUUAUUUUUUGUUGCCAAAUAAAUACUUUGAAUGUUAAAAUUAUACACACAAAUUUUAUUUAAGAAAUAAUCCAACAACAACAAUGUUAACCAAGGCCUAAAAGUUACAAAUUGGGCCAAAUAAUAAUUCGUUGAAUCAUUACGUAUGAUGCUAGAAUUCUCAAAUGACCAUUGCAUUUAGAUCUUGCCGUGCUCAAUAGACACCUUUUCUUUCCUCUUUUUUUCCUUUUUUUUUUUUUUUUUCCUUUUCAGAGAGGGACCUCUUCACUGCCCAAAAUACUAAAACUCAAGCACAUGAUUGGUGGGAUUCCCAAAAAAUAAGGUCAUCAAGCAGUUUGAGCGCACCAAAUAAAAGUUCUUACAGACUUGCACCAUCAAUAAAACAUAAAACUUCUCCAACCUUUAAUUCUAGCUUACAACAAAAAGAUCUUAAGCAUUACUGCAAACAAGAAUCAUUUGCAUUCACCUAACUUCAACCUACUCAGUGAUUUAAAUCCAACCCAAUAAAUCAAGGUUGAUCUCACAUGAGCCAUGCAUGUUUUCUCCUUUUUUUUUUAUGCUUACAUUCGUGUGCUCGAAUCGAUACAAUGCAGCCUGUGCACUAUCACCUCCCUAUUGUGUGGAAACCUCAGUUCCAAAUAUGUUACUUCUGAUACAGCAAGCAGAUACAGUUAGGCAGCCUUUCCACAGUCUACGAAGCUUCCGGGAUUGACAGUUAUGCUUUUAGUGCAAUUGUGUGUCUUGUAUAUACCAACAAGUCGAUCGGCUAGCUCAAACAUAUUGUUUCUAAGGCUGCACAUCAAUGUGUAUUCACAGAGGGAUGUUAGCAAGGAGAUAUGAAAGCUGCAGCAACAGAUACUAAUAAUCAAAAUUCACACAUGGCAGGGAGGCAUCAUACCUAAUGAUAAUAAACUGAGCAUCUCUAGUCCUGUCUUUCACAUAAUGCCCAACAAUAGAAACAUUCUUAAAAUCUGAAAAGAAGCAUCCACACCAUAAUAACAAAAAAAGAAAUAUAGAAAAAUGUGGCGUUACAUGGGCACGAAUGAGUAGAGAGUUUUUACCUAAUGCAGCAUCAAUCUCAUCCAUGACAUACAAUGGGGUGGGUUUGUAAUGAUGAAGGGCAAACACAAGAGCCAGGGAGCUAAGCGUCUGCAAGAGGAUUCAGCUUUGAUCAAUGGUAUAUUCUUACAUCAAAAAUAACACAAGUCAGAAACAAAUUCUGCUAGGCUGAUGUCUCGUAAUAGAAAAUUGAUCAGCCAACGAAAUAAGAUAUAGACACUUCUAAAGGCACCCUUCAUGCAUUUGUAGGCGAGCAUUGACUAAUUAAUUCCCUUCCAAUUUUAUGCUACGUAUUUGGAAUCUAAAAGGGCUGAUAGUGUUAUAUUAAUUUUAAAAAACAGGUGAAAAGCAGAAGUAAUUAAAAGAAAAAAAAGAAGAAAAUUUGGUUUAUCUUAACAUUCUACCAGACAAAGGAAAACCAGAAGAUGAAAGAGCAUCAGAAGUAGAUAGUACCAUUCUACAUAAAGAUCUAAUUUGAUGACUUACUCGCAUGUCAACUAUAAAGGCAUCAUACAAAGUAAUCAAAGCAUAAAAAUAGAAUCCAGGAAGUGCGAGAACAUGCCUUCUCACCACCCGAUAGAUUAGCAAUAUUCUUCCAGCUCUUCUUUGGGGGCCUCACACUGAAAACUACGCCUUCAGAAAAAGGAUCCAAGGAAUCAACAAGUUCCAAUUCUGCAUCACCCCCAAGAGUAAUCAUCUGCAGUCCAAAUUGUAAAUAAUUAUGUUUGUCAACUUUGCUAUACUUACUGGAUAAUGCAAAUUGUGGUAAUUCUAAUUACGAGUUCUCUUAGUUUGCAGUUAGGAUGAUGAUAAAAAGUUAUCGAACAGUUUCUUUCAAAAACAAAAUCAGGAUGAAAUUAAAAAAAUAAAAAAGCAUGGAUUCUGGUGUAUGCAUCCAGAAUAAGUAAGUUGCUCCAGAGACCUGAUACAUCUCCUUCAACUUCAGGGAUAUUAUGUUGAAUCCUGUCAUGAACUCAUCUAACCUAAAGUGGCAUAAAGAGGACUGAUUAUAUGCAGGAAAUAAUUGAAAUAACAGUGACAGUAAUUGACAUAGACUCAGAAUAUACCAAAACAGGAAAUAAAAGAACACACCGUUUCUUCCUCAACCCAUCAUACAGCUUUUUGAGGUCAUCUCGCUCUUGUGUCACAGAAUUUAGCUCAUCCACGCGUGCAUUGUAUAGUAGAACCUUUUUCCUAUAUCUGGCUUAACAAAGCAGUAACUUGAGUAUUUAAACCAAAAAAAAAAAAAGAGCAGUAAAAGAGAAUAAAUAACACCAUACUCUGCAAUUGAAUCCAAGUUUGGAUUCAUCUCUUUUAUCUGAGCUUCUAGCAAUGCCACCAUCUCCAUUGCUCUUUUCAUAUCACAGGCGUCAUUUAGUGACUCCUCACUAACUGUUGCCUGAAGCUUUUCAGGAUCAACUGCGUCCAUUUGAAUUCUGUUGCCAGCAAAAGUCUGAUUAGGAAAAAAUACACUUGGGUAAUAUAUAUUGUGCUGUUAGAUGAGGCAAAGCUUAAAACUUACUGGUCCAUGUGUUUGACAAGAUUCAAUUGUAUAUCAUCAACCCUUUUUUUGAGCGCCUUCGUCUUCAUCUCCCACUCUUUUGCAAGUUUUUUCGCAUCUUGCAAUUUGUACUCAGCAUCAACCUAUAUAAGACAAAGGUGGCUAUACGUAGACAAAAGAGGGAAAGGAAAGAAAAUGCUCAUACAAAAUCAAGCACAAGAAAAAUAACCUCAGCAGCUCGUAGCUCCUCCAUCAUUUUCUUUAAUUUGUUGUAUUUGGCCUUUGUUUCGUCAAGCACAUCUUUAUGCUUGUCAAUAAGCUACAGACAACAAAAUUGACAAUUUAGUCACAGUAAGAUGACCAAUUAUUUAUUGUUUCGUUCCUAACAAAUCAGUCUUGAGUACCUCUUGAGUUUUCUUAUAGUUUUCCUGAACUAAAAAUGCCUUUUGCUCUAUCUCUUUAAAAACGGACAUCAUCUUCUCUUUCUCCUCCAUAUUUUUCUCUUUUUCUUUCUUCGACUCUUCAAUUCCCUUAGUUAAUUUCUUCACGAAUUUCUCACAUGUUGCUAUCUUAACUUUGUGACGAUUUAUUUCUGUACUGGUUUUGUCAAUUUCCUGGCAAGAGAAAAACGAAGGUUAGGAAAGGUACGAAAGUAGAAAACAAUCUAAGGCAAGUGUACCCACAGAUUGGAUAUUUGUCACUUUUGAUUUCUGAUUCUUUAGCACUUCUCCACCUGCAUUUUCGAUUUUGUUCUGAAGCUCGAAAGCCUGGUAUAUUGAAGAGGCAAAGAUAUAAAUAUUAUGCAAGCUAUCCAGUACAAUUCUGGGUAUUAGUUGAACGAUCAUGUUACAAGGCAGCCACAUAGAAAUCAAAUCUACAGCAAUAUCAUUACAGAGAAAGAACACUCCAAAACUGAGGUAAGGUCUAACCACUCACUCUAUCUUUGAGCUUACUAGAGCAUUUAGCAAGCUUGUCCAAUUCCCUCUGCUCGGCAAGUAUGAUGUGAUCCAACUCCUCCAGUCUGCAAAGAUCAUCCUCUUUUGGCUGUGAAGCAGUUUUCAGCGAACCAAGUCGCUUUUCAUUGUAACUGUAUUGUGCAUUCAAACUGUCUAUCUGUAGAAAAAGAAGACAGAUCUCUGGAGAUCACAAAACAAAUCACACAGAAAAGGAAUAUAGGAAAAGCUAUGUACUUAGUGUCUAUUAUCAACAUUAGAAUUUGUUAUGGCAAACACAUUACGUCGUUGGUCUUUGAACAUAUUGCAAAGUUUCACUUAAGUCACUGAAUUUCAAUUUGCCACAAUUACGCCACUGAAAUUCAAAUUCUAUUUCAGUCGAGUCACUGGUGCAGUAACUAAUUCAUUCAGGCCACCAGUGGCACCCAAAUCAGUUGCCACAGCAACUCAAGAUAUUAUGAUUCCAUUGGCGUGCCAUCUUAACAGAUGACAUAGCAAUCAGCGUCAUGACAUCUUUUUAAGAUGGGGUGGCAACAUGAUAAGCUUAUCAUGCCUUCAUAGGGGAUAUUAAACAGAGUUCGGCACAAUGAUCGGGUUCUAUUGCAUCAAAUCAAAGUUCAGUGACCCAAGUGAAAGAGUGCGCCAGUUCAGUGACAAAUAAUGCAAAUUUACCAAGUUAUUAUAUAUACCUCCUUCCAACUUUUUGCCAACUCCAUUUCAAGAUGGGCUAUCUCUCCUUCAGCAGCCUGAUAACAGCUUCUAGCAUCAGUAAUUCUUUGUCUCAAGAUACUGAGUUGGUCAACAAGUUCCGCAAGUUCCUUUUCAGCAUUUAGAAUAACUUCUCCUGAAACACUUUCCCUAAUAGAUGUACCCAUCUUACCACCUCGAGGCUUGGUUCCACCGCCACUCAUUGUGCCAGACUUCUCAAAAAGUGCACCUUCCAGUGUCACUACGCGUCGAAAUUCUUUAUCCCCACCAUAUGCAAUUCUUGUAGCCUAAAUAUGUUAGAUUAGAGUAGACCUACUGUCAAUUCUUUUUGAAGAUGCACAACUAGUUCCUGUGAAUAUAAUGAAUAAAGAAAGGUAGGGUGAACCUAAGGCUGAAAUACAGAAGAAAAUGCAAUGACAGGUCGGCAUUCGGAUGACUAAACAUGAAGCAUUAAAGCUAAAACGGACGGGUACCAGAACGUGGUUUACACAAAAAAAAGGAAGGUUGUCCCUAAACUAAUCUUCCUAUUACAAGCCUAUACCUUGAUAAAAAUGAUAGCUCGACAGAGAAUUCCUAUUCAUUCAGCACAUUUCCUGCACUAAACAAGACUCGGACCUUUCAUGGAGCAAGCUCCGAACAAGCAAAAUGGUGACAUGGCAACAGUGAAUGAACAUCAAUUCACUCCUAGCAGCCAAACUAAAUGCAUGAUAUUUACUUUUGAAAUCAACGAAUCAACUAAUCAGAGAAAUCUAGUACAUACCCAACAUCUAUACCUAAAGAGCAAAACAUAGAUAGAAGUAUGGAACUAAAAAAAGUAGUGAAAGAAAACUAACCUGAUUGAGGUCUUCUGCUACAACGGUGUUUCCCAAGACAGCAAAAAAAGCCAACUUCAGUCUCUCAUCUUUGACAGUUACCAGAUCAAAUAGGCGUGGAACAUUUUCAGGAGUUUGAACUUUCUUGUUUAGCUUGUGCAGAUGAUCUACUUGUUUUUCCUGCACUAGAAUAUGACAUGAGUUAUGCAUGGCAUGGAAAGCCACCCAAAAAAUAGACAAGUUUCAGCCAAUAAAUUCUUCCACAUAUUACAUACGACUGCAUGCUGGUAAAUAAAACUACUAAGCAAUCUAAGAUGAAGAGAGUGAGGAAAUCAUAAAGAGAAAAUAGAGUAUAGGCAACACAAAGUAAACUAAGUACGAAGAUACCAUUAUCAUGAAAGUUGCAACGCCAAGAUUCUUCCUCCGAAGUAACUCAACACAAGCUUGUGCUGCUGCAGUUGUCUCAACAACAAUGUAAUCCAGCCCAGGACAGGCUGUAGAUAUGGCAACAUCAUAUUUUGCUGCAGCGAGAAAAAUGCAAACAAAACUUAGCAAAUACUCAUCGAACUGAGAAUGACUGACUGCUAUUAUGCCGUUUGUAUAAGUCGCCAAGGUUGUAAAUAGCAGAUAGCGGAUAUAUAACAUUUGGGGGGCUCAUAGCGGAAAGCAGAUAGCAGGCGCCAUAGUGACCACUACGAAACCAAAGCAGGUUUUCACAAAAAACUACAUAAAUUGUCUAUAUUCCUUAUUAAAAAUGCAAAUGAUUUUGAAGAAAGAACAAGUAACCAUUACCUUUUUGUAGCAUUGUGAGUCUAUACAUAUGUAAUGUCAUUAUCUAUAAGACUAAUUUCAAAAUAUUAUGAUUUAACAUAUCAAAAAGACAAAAAACUAUAAAAUCUAUAAACUUAUAAAAUCUAUAAUCCAUUUACAGGUUUUUGAUCCUUUUAUUUGACUUCAAAACCCGACCCAAUAAGAUAUUUUGACCCAUUUGCAAUUUCCAAGCUUUUGAGUCCAUAGCAGCCGCUUCGACCCUGCUUUAUAGCGCCGGCUUUAGCGGGCACAAGGUCGCUAUAGCGGCCGCUACAAACCCACGCUGCUAAAUCCUGCUCUAAUGCUAUGGCGUGGCGUUAGCAUAGUAAUUCCGCUAUGGAGACCACUAUGGCGGGUGUAGAGGUCGCUAUUAAAACAUUUGAAGCCAUAAAAUAGAUGAAAGCAAAAAAGAUCCUGAUACACUACUAUAAAUAAAAGUAAAAAGCAAAUAUUAAUUUCAUUAAGCCUCAGCCUCCUGCCUCACUUUAACGAAGCCCACAUGCAUCUACUCGGGUGCAAGGAUGCUCAGACAUGCAUAGACAAAACAAAUGGACACACACGAACACACAAACAUCAGCAAAUACAGGACACAAAAAAUGCACGCAUGCAUUUGCAUGCUUGCAAACACUGCAAAGAACCAAGCGCACCAAAGAACCAAAUAAAAUUUCUGUAAGCUAUGAGACAGUUGGUAGUUUCUCCAAUAGCACAUAUCAGCUGUUUCCAAGUGAAUUUCUAAAGAGAAGGUAUACUCAUACGUCCAAUAGUACCAAGGGAAAUGCAAGAAAAGAAAAGGCAAAUUCAUCCUCACAAAAGAUCCCAGUUGUGUCUACACCCUCAAAUAAGUUACACAUGUCCUUAAAUAGUCGGUCACACAAAAAUCCAAAGGUGCAUUAUUGUGCCUUGUUAAAACUUCAAUAUUCAGCCACAUGUUCCUGGUUUUAGAUGCCACUAACUCGACAAAAGGGCAUAUACACAUAUUUUAAACUAUAUACGCAAUUGAACAUUAGAAAUAUGAAAUCCAAAAGAAGUAUUUUAACCUAAUCAAGCUAUAUUACCAGUAUGAAUAAGGGAGAGGAAAAGCAUCACUUCUUACGAGAAAUUAUAAAAAGAAAACUCUCAAGUGCAUAAGAGAGAAUCAACAAAGAUUCUAAAGCAGUUGACAACCGAAACAGAGUAUACCUAUUUCCUACUAUCAUAGUUUGAAUUUAGCUAAACAAAAUGUACUGAUUCAAAGAUCAACUGACAUGACACACAUAACCAACUUAAUGAGCAACAUGAAAGGCUUAGGUACUGGUAACUAACUGUCAUCAGCAGUCCAUAUGCAGGUUGAACCCUGAUCACCUAACUAAUCAUGAAAGUCUUAGGUAAGCAAGUAUUCAGGACAAAAGGAGUAUACUGUACCCUCUAUUGCACCAAGAUCACCUAAUCGGCCAAAAAUUCCUUCUAUGUCCUUUGAUUCCUUGGCUUGCAGAAUUGCUUUUAGAACUGCACCCUGAGUCUUUUCAGUUUCCAAAACAGACAUGAUUUCUGAAAGUUUCUGUCUGGCAGCUUGUUCAAGAGGAAUAAGCGACUCUUCCUUCUUUAAGCUUUCCUGUAAAGCAAUUCAAGUUAUCAACUGGCACAGUAUAAAAGAAUGUACAGAAAAGCGAUUGCACAAAGCACAUACUUCUUCAAUUUUAUGAGCUUCCAUCGCUCCAAGCCGGUUUCUCUCUAUUUUAGCUUGAAUCUCUGUAAUGCUUGCCUUCUUCGUUUUGAUUUUCUCCACUAUAUCAUUAUUCUCUUGUUGAGCCUGCUCAAAUUCUACUUGGCAAGCAAUGUGCUGAAGACAAAAUAUACUAUCAAAAAACCAUCAUCAUCAAGGGUGCCAAAUCACAAGUAGGCUAAUAGCUGAAUUUUGCAAGUCAUGCAUUUUAGAAUCAUCAAAAUAUAUAGGGGUAGAAAAGAGUUAACUAACAGUCCAGCUAAACAAAACCAAACUUAGUACUGCAAUUUGUUGAAUUCUGUUAAAUAUUUGAUAUGUUAGGUGAAUGACAACUCUGAGACUGUAUAUAAAUAUAUUGAAAGAUGACAGGUCAAAUGAGAAAAAAAACCUUAGAAUCUGCUCUUUUUUUUGAUAAUUAGUCAAACACAUAUAUAGGCACACCUUUUCUUUCAAAAGCUUGCUUUCAGCAGAUGCAACAUCAAGUUUCCCUUUAUGCUCAAUCAGCUGGUUCUCCCAGGGUUCUAACUCUGCCCGGACUUUGAUGAGCUCCAAAUGAUGUCUCUCAGUUUCAUCUGUUUUUGAAUUAAUGUACAAACAUAAAACAGUAAUAAAAUAAAGCUAAUAAGAUAAAAGGAGAAAUGUUAUUUUCGCCACAGAAUCACCCCGAGAGCUUUCUUUAAUUUCUUCUAAUAGCUUUUCUUCCGCAAGCAACAGCUGUUGUAGUUUGGGUAUCUCUCCCUCGAGUUUUGGAAUGAGAUUCGAGGAUUCGUCUAUAUCUUUCAUCGAUUCAUCUAGUUUGGAUGCAUCCUGUAGGAAGAACAUAGAUGAGAAGCUUGUCAUAGCUAAUCAAAGAACCAAAUUAAAAGUUCAACGUGCCUUUUCAACUUUGUCAUCUAAUUUUUUAAUUUUUUGCUUGAGGUGCUUUAAAUCUUCUCUGUAUUUCACAUCUUGUCGUUCAAACUCCUUAAACUGGUCUUUACAGGUUCUCAUCUCAGUGUCGAGUUCCUGAAUAUUAAAGCAAGAUCCGAAAGAAAUCAGUAGCACUAGCAUUAGAAUGACGACAAGAAAGUUAUCAAACCUUCUAUUGAUAGCACAGAAAAUAAACUGAUCAUAUAAAGAUGUUAAUCUUAUCCUGCUGACAAGCAAAACCAUUAGGGAUUUGAAAAAUGGCAGCAUACAAAAGCAGCCAUUGCAUUGAACAUUAAGUACUCAAAUGCACCGUUGCAAGAAUGUAUGUGCACAUGCGAAAAUGAUUGUGGUGAUUGUAUAUGGACACAUGUGCAUGUCAUUUUUCCUUAACAGAAUUGGACAACAAAAAAGGAUUUAUGUAAAGAACACAAUUAAUUAGGACAUAGGGCGAACAUUCUCAGGAGAAGGUCAUUGAAGAUUUAAGAAGAGCAGAACAUAUUAUCCAAAUGCAAAACAAAGAAUUGGAAAUUAUUGCUUUAUAUUCUGUAAGUUAGGUAUGGUGGAAUCUGAUAGUGGAUUCAAACAAAUAAUUAAACUGUUUAAGAAGCAUUAUAGUGAUAAACUAUUCUAUGUAAAGCUAAAGUUUGCUGCAUUUGAUAAAGUUGUGGUGAAUUGAAAUGAAACAAAAGCAAUGAAGUACUACAUCUUUGAUUUCACUUAGAAGAAGGGAGGCCAUUAUGACAAUUUUAUUCAGAAAAAUAACUGCUUGCAUUGCACGAUUAAUUUUGAGCUAAGGUCGUAGGAAGAUAAUGCAAAACUACUUAUUGCUUACCUCUUGUCUUUUCACAUAUUUAUUGUAUACACUUUCUAGUUCCUUCAAUGUAGAAGAAUUCUGUUGAAUCUUCUCCCUGUAAUAGGAUUAGAACAAUUAGCCAGCUUACCCUUUACGUUCUGAAGCUGAUAAUUUGCUUCGGAUGCAAAUACCUCUCACUUGUGAGAUUUGUUUCCAGGUUUGACACAUCCUCUUGCAAGAGAAUAACACGAGUAGCAGCAUCAUCAGAAGACAAUUUAGUUGCCUUCUCUUGCCAUUUCAAAAGUGAUAGUUCCUUCAACAUAUAUUCCUCUGCUUCAUUUUUGACAUUCUACAGGACAGGAAUAUACAGUUGACUUGCCCCAUGCAAUAAGAGCUGAGAGGAAAAAUGUUCACAAAUCAAACAGAUACCUCUAAGCUUUCUCUUUCUUUCUCAGCUAGUUUCACCAUAUUCACUGAUGCAGAUCGUUUUUCAUUGAGGACCUCAAGCCUAAAGAAAUGGUAUAGCAUAAUGAGAAAACCUGUCUGAAAGGAAAAGAAAAUGUCCCCAUAUGGUGUUUAUGAAUUUAUAUUAUCACAUAAUUAUAAAUCAUUGCCAAACCGAGAAAGUUCAAGUUGACACCUCGGUAGAAGAGGAAGGAAAAAAUACGAGAUAAUUUAAAGAAAAGUGUAAGACACAUAAGUAUGAUAAUAAACAAUAUUAUAUGAGGAAAGAGCCAAGAAACAACCUCAAUAUUUUGAUUCCUGUCCUCACCUAAGACGUAAGGUGGUAAAUGACUAUAAACUGGCUCUGUGCAAUGGGCUAUAAAAUGAUGUCAAUUGUGGGAGAAACCAACAGUAAAAAAGAUGACUUAGCCAACAGGAAAAGUCGUAAACUGAUUCAAAUCCAAAGGUCAACGGUCAACAUUGCGAUCCUAAGAUAGUAUAUAGCUUAGUUCAGUUUUUUAAUGAAGCCUGAUUGACCGUAUAUUGUGCUCAACAUCAACUUGCUCAAAUGUCGAAGACUAGAUAUCAUUUACACUUGCCUAGAGAGUAAGCAUUGGAUACGAAACAACAGAAAGGUUUGUGGAGUCAGUGAAAAGAUAUAACAUGGCCCUUUCAUAGACAGGCUAUUACUAAUGUAUUGUCAAAAUAAGGUACUCAUCGGCAUACAACAGCUCUCAAGUACGUCAUACACAACAUGCCGCGACCACAAUUUACAGGUCACCAACAACAUAUUCAUGGCAUGAUUACUGUUACCGCAUUUAGUAAUAGGCAAUACAAAAUUGAAAUUAUACCACUUCUUCAGAAUAAAAAAGUUGAAUAGAGUGACAAAUUAAAAAAGCUAACUCACUGUCUCUGCGCUUCUUCGAUCUUUUCCACAUACUGAUUUGUCCCAAUAAUAUCCUCCAGAUAUUCUAAAAAGCCCUCAUCAUGGGCCCCUUGAACCUUGGGUUUCAUUAGGGAAAUCUGCUCGACCUCACCCUGCACAGAAACCAUAUAAGGACCCUAGACAGCUAAAGUUUGUCAUCAUAGUUCAUUAGUAAAAUCAAAAUUUGUCCGGUUGCAUCUAACAUCUUCAAAACUUUUAAACAACACGAUCACACGGUACACACCCACACAGCUUUUGAGUUGCUCGGCGGUGUGUUUUUUUAUAAUUAUAGUACUAAAUAACUUGCCAAGCUUUAAUUUGAGAAAGUCUCAGAAUGUUCAUUUUUGACCUGUAGAAUUAGAAAGCGGUUGUUGUCCAGGUCCACCCCUUUCCCUUUAAGCAUUUUGGUGACUUCGGUGAAAUUACUUGCACGCUCGUUAAUGUAGUAUCUAGAAGAGUUGUCCCUAAAAGCAAUCCUUGUAACGACAAAGUCACUGCCCUCGACAGCCUCGUUGGUUCCGUCAGCCUGGUAUAACCGCGCAAAUGAAGUUCUUUUUUUUAUGAUGAUAAUAGAUAAUCGAUGUCGGCUUAACAGAAGCAUACCAGAUCGACAAUUUCUUGGAAGUGGACGGAAACUGCAGCACUGUCCAGGUUUUGAUGGUCGCUAGAAUUGUGUAUCAGCUCCGAUACCUUAUUCAGACGCAUCUAGGGUGAAGAAGAAAGGCAAAUGUUUUAAUUUUCCUUUUUAUUGUAAUUCAUGCGCGGUCCAAACCAACACGCACGACAUCGCGCUCAAUUGGAGGAGGAGGAGGAGAAGAAGCGAGGAGAGAGGUUUACCUGCUUCGCCCGCUUCCCAAACACGAAGAGCAUCGCGUCUAUGACGUUGCUUUUCCCGCUGCCAUUAGGGCCCACAACUGCCGAGAAGCUCUGCUCAAAAUAGGUAAAAUAAGAAAGAAAACAAAAACAAAAGAAAUGCUGAAGCUAGGGUUUUGCCGAGGAGGAGGAGGAGGAGGAGGAGGAGGACGAUGAAAAGGGUGAAGAGAAUUAGGGAAAGGGGAGGGUGGGGGACCUUGUGGAAGGGGCCGAUGCGCUGCUCGCCGGCGUAGGAUUUGAAAUUGCGGAGCACCAUCUCCUUGAUGAAGAGCCGCGGCCUGCUCUUUGGAGGCGCCGAAGGAGAGUGGCCGCCGCCGCCGCCGCCGGACGCCGCCGCGGUCGGACUGGUCGACUCUUCCGGCAUGGGAGCGGAGGGAGGGGGAGCGGGGAAGGAGGGUUCGAAAAAGGAGCGUUGUGGUUUGGGAGGGAAAACAAAAUUCUUCCGGAGGGAAAAAAAACGAAAAGGAAUAGUACUCUCUAGUCUCUACUCUCUACUGAAACGCCACGAGUAGAUCCGGCAAUCUCUUUCGUACCCGCGGGUACCCACAAAUUACAUAUUAUAUUGGAUAUUGGACUAGUUUUAUAAAAGUUCAUAUCUAAGUAGGGGUGUAAAACGGGCCGGGCGGCCCAUGGACGGUCCGGCCCGGCAGACUGCAGGCCGGACCGUGGCCCGGCACGACUACUGUAGCAGCCGUGCCCGGCCGAAGGGUCGGCCUGCAGCCCGGCACGGAACGGCCCGGAUACAUUUAUUGGCCUGGCUAGGCUUUAGCUAGGCUUAUAAAAGGCUAGGCCUGCCUUUAGCCUUUAUUAGAGUUUGUAGCCCUCUACCAAAGUCCCACUGUCCAACAGUCCAAGUGUAGCCAGGCCUUUUUCUUUUCUUUUUUCUGAAAAAAUAUUUUUUUAUUUAUUAUUUUUUAAAAAAUGGGUUAAAAAAUUUAAAAAAGAUUUUUUUUGAUCAAAAUGACCACAAUGCCCUCACUAACAUUCAAAAAUUUGACUGUUAGAGAGGGCAUUUUGGUCAAAAACUAAAAAAAUAUUUUUAUAUUUUUUAAAAAAUAUUUUUUAUAUCUAUAAAUAUUACUAAAAACAGCCAAAUUCACCACAACAAACUAUUAGUCAUUGCGCCUCUUCUUUUUUAUUUAGUACCACUCUUUAGUAGGUGUAAUGAAGUAAAAAAUUAUGUUUGAUUUUUUUUCUUUAUUGUUUGCUAGUUGGUUGUAUAAACAAUAUUAUUUUAUUUUAAAUAUAUUUUAAAUUUUUAAAAAUUUUGUACUUUUCUCUAAUGUAAUUAUAUAAUAAGAUUAAUUCAAAUUUUAAAUAUUUUUUUGUAUAUUUUUUCGAAUAUCAAUUUCUCUUCAAAUAAUAAAAAAUUAUAAAAAAAAAACUAAUAUUAAUUUUAUAUUAGAAAGUUAAAUUUAUUGUGAUUUUUUAAAAUUUAUAAAAGUUUUAAAAAGGUUGGGUAUAAUUAUGUAAAUUAAAAAUUAUAAGUCAAAAGGCUAUAAUUUAAACUCUUUUUUAAAAAAGAAAUUUUAAAAAAUACAAACUUUAUGUAAUAUGAUUAAUACAAACUUUAUAUAUUUUUUGUAAUUAUUGUUUUAAAUAUCAAUUUCUCUUCAAAUAAUAAAAAAUUAUUAAAAAUAUUUAAUAAAAGAGUUUUCAAAAAGUUUGGUGUAAUUGUAUAAAGUAAAAGCCAUAAGUUUAUAAUUUAAAAAGAAAUUAUCUCUUUUUCUGAAAAAAAAAAUUUCUGAAAAAAAAAACUAGGAAAAGAAAUUAUUUUAAAAAAUUUGGACUGGCACGAAGCCUGGCCCGGCCCGACACGGCCCGUAUUAGGCGGGCCAGGGGGCCGGGCCGAGCCUACUACUCUAGCUAAAAGGACCGGCACCGCCAGACCCGAAUUAAUAACCGGGUCGGGCCGGGCCGACCCUUGGCCCGAAAUGGCCCAAAAAAUGUGGGUCGUGCCAACCCAGCACGGCCCACAUUACAUCCCUAUAUGUAAGUAUAGUAAAUUAUAAAUAUAUUUUUUAAAAAAUUUAAUUUUUAUAUAUUGUUUCUACGAAAAAUCUAAUAUUUUUAAAUAUGUCUUUCUAGUUUACUAGCGUUAAAAUACUGUCUAUUUAUAAAUAAAAUGCCUUUUUGCCAUCAUAAAUAUGUCCCUCUAAAAGUCCGAACUGUUAAUUGAAUACGGUAGAAAGAUCAAUUCACCUCGUUAACUAACUAGGGUUAAGUAUUUAACUUAUAAUUAACUAAAUUUUUCUAAUGGAGGGACACAUUUGAAAACAUCAGAAUUUUCAUAGGAACAAUAUAUGAAAGUUGAACUUGAUAUUGAUAUAUUUGUAAUUCACUAUAUUUGUAGGAUCUUUUUGAAAUUAAUCCUAUUAAAUUUAUAAUUGCGGAUCAUAAAUACUCGUUGAGAUGUGAGUAUUUUGAGUAAUCCAUGGACACCCACAAAUAUAUAUAUAUUUCGAAAUUUAUUUUCUAAAAGUUUUCUAUAAUCUAGAUCAUAUUUAACGGAGUGGAUCGUUGAUUCGGAAGCUCCAUCAUUGAAAACAACUUAUGAGUACGAGGGCUCCAAUACUCAUAAUAGUAUAGUAGCCAUGGCCUAUAUAUAUAUAUAUAGUUCGGCUGGAAUACUAUCGAUAGCACCAAGAAUUUGGUGCUAUCGAAUUUUUCAUCGUUAGAUUUAACCAUUUGAUUAUUUUUACCCGUUAGAUUAUACUAUUCAACAAACCACUCACUCAAUCUUAGGGGACCCACAUGAUUCUAACCACACAUUUCUCAAUUCAAGGGUUAAAAAACUAAUAGCACCAAUAACUUUGUACUAUUAAUAGUGUUCCAGUCUAGUUCUAUAUAUAUAUAUAUAUAUAUAUAUAUAUAGAGAGAGAGAGAGAGAGAGAGAGAGAGAGAGAGAGAGAGAGAGGAGCUAGAAUACUAUCAAUAGUAAAUGGGCUCCGUUGCCAUCUAUUUGUUUUCGAUGAUAGAGCCUCCAAAUCGAUGAUCGGUACCGUUGAAUAUGAUCUAUACCCCUUGAAGUGUUUAGAAAUAAAAGCUCAAAUCAUUUCGACAUCAUUUGCCUAAUGAUCAAUGAGUUUCAAAAUUUUUAAUUUUAAUGGUCGAUAUGAGGCGUUUUCUUGUUUAACGGCGUAAAGAUAUUCAAAUCAAUUGAAUUUUUGUUAGAAAAAAUUUUAAACUAUUUAAAACAAGAUCUAUAUUCUUCAUCUUGAUUACAAGACUCCUAUUAUCAUUUUUUAAAGAAUAUUCAUUUUCAGCCCUUUAUUUUUGUGUCCACUCGAUGGAUAAGAAACAAUAUCGAAACUAUAUGAAAUUUGAUUUCUAAACACUUCAGGUAGUAUAGAUUAUGUUCAAUAGUGCCGAUAGUUAAUUUGGAAGCUCCAUCAUCGAAAACAAAUGGAUGGCAACGGAGCCCGUUUGCUAUCGAUAGUAUUCUAGCUCAACUAUAUAUAUAUAGUCCGCUACUCUUAUGAGUACGAUCGCCUUUGUACUCAUAAGUCGUUUUCGAUGAUAUAGCUUCCGAAUCGACGAUCCAUACCGUUAAAUAUUUUCUAGAGCAUUUAAAACUUCUAGAAAUCAAAUUUCAUAAUUUGUCGACAUCAUUUACCUUACGACCAAAAGCUCACAAAAUUGACAAUUUUUAACGACCGGUAUGGAAUACUUACUAGUUUAACGGUGCAAAAGAAUCAGAAUAGGUUGAAUUUUUGAUAGAAAAUUCUAUUCGCUACCUAAAUAAAGAUCACUAACUCCGAUCUUAAAUUGAAGGAUCCGAUCAUCCAUUUUUAAGACGUCGUUCGAUUUUGACCGUUCAUUUUAUGCCCGCUUAAUGGACUUUAUUAUGAUUUCGAAAAAUUACGAAAUUUAUUUGCUAGAAGUUUCAAAUACUCUAGAUCAUAUUUAAUGGAGUAGAUCGUCGAUUCGGAAGCUCCAUCAUCGAAAACAACUUAUAAGUACGAAGGGUCCAAUACUCAUAAGAGUAUAGUAGCUCUACUAUAUAUAUAUAUAUAUAUAUAUAUAUAUAUAUAUAUAUAGAUUAUAUAUCUAUAAUAUAUAGUUAUAUAAUUGAGUUCUCUGUACUUUUAAAAAGUACCAAAUCACUUGGUGGCUAGUAAGUUUUUUGGCCCCUUGGAAUUAAAGAUAUGGCGAUUAGAUGAUGUGGGCCCCGCUAGGGUUGAUUGGGUGGUGUGGCUUGAAUAGUACUAUCUAACGAAUAAAACAUGAUCAAAGGCAUAAAUCUAACACGUAAAAAAAUUCUAACAAGCACAAUGUGCUUUGGUGCUUGUACAAGCCACCUAUAGCGGAUAUAUAUAUAUAUAUAUAUUAUGAUAGUAUAUAUAUAAUAUCAUAUAUAUAUAUAUAUAUAUGAAUUAGGUGCUGGCAAACCUAUUAAUAGUAAAACGCCUUGUUGCUAUCAAGUUUUUAACCCGUCGGAUUGAAAAAUUGUAGGGUCUGGAUGAGUAUUAGUCGAUUAGAGUUGCAAGUGGUCCCCUAGUGGUUAAGUGGUCCCCACUGGGUUAUAGUAUUUAAUCCAAUGCGUUAGAAAAAUGGAAAGAGUGAUCAAGGUUUAAAAAACCUGUCAGCACAAUGAGUAUUUUCCUACAAUAGUUAGCCCAGUCCAACUCUCUUCUCUCUCUCUCUCUUCUCUCUUCUCUCUCUCUCUCUCUCUCUCUUCUCUAAUAUAUAUAUUAGUAUAUAUAUAAUGAGGCUACUGUGCCUUCCUGAAAACACGGAAGAGCUUCCAUGCUUCCAAGUCGUUUUCAUAUGUUGCGCUUUAUUGAAUCGUCGAUCGGCUCCGUUAAACUUGAUCUAGAGUAUUUGAAGUACCUAAAAAAUAAAUUAUGCGAUUUUUUGAUAUUAUUUGCCUAGUGAACGAAGAGGCUCAAAAUCAACGACUGAAAAUAAAAAUAUUACAAAACGUGAUAAUAUGACAUUAAAACUUUAGAUCAAAGAUAUUGAUCUUGUUUUAUAUAGUAUAAAGAAUUUUCUAUCAAAAUUUCACGUGAUUUGGAUAUUUCUACACCGUUAAACUUGCAAACGGCUCACUAUGGCCAUUAAAAUUAUUGAUUUUGAGCCCCUUCGAUCACUAGGCAAAUGAUAUCGAAAAAUCAUAAAAUUUAUUUUCUAGGUACUUCAAAUACUCUAGAUCAAGUUUAACGGAGCCGAUCGACGAUUCGAAAGUCGCAACAUCGAAAACGACUUGGAAACACGGAAGGCUCCGUGCUUCCAAAAGCAUAGUAGCCUCACUCUAUAUAUAUACAUAUAUAUAUAUAUAUAUAUAUAUAGAGAGAGAGAGAGAGAGAGAGAGAGAGAGAGUAGGGCUACUAUUCUCUUAUGAGUAUAGAGAAGUUCGUACUCAUAAGUUGUUUUCGAUGAUGGAGCUUCCAAGUCGACGAUCCGCUCCGUUAAAUAUGAUCUAGAGUAUUUGAAACUUCUAGAAAAUAAAUUUCGUAAUUUUUCGAAAUCAUAAUAAAGUCCAUCAAGCGGGCAUAAAAUGAAUAGUCAAAAUCGAACGACGUCAUAAAAAUGGAUGAUUAGAUCCUUCAAUUUAAGAUCAGAGUUAUUGAUCUUUAUCUAGGUAGUGAAUAGAAUUUUCUAUUAAAAAUUCAAUCGAUUCUGAUUUUUUUGCACCGUUAAACUAGCAAGUAUCCCAUACUGACCAUUAAAAAUUAUCAAUUUUGUGACAUUUGAUCGUAAGCUAAAUGAUGUCAAAAAUUAUAAAAUUUAAUUUCCAGAAGUUUAAUAAUAUUUGACGGUAUGGAUCAUCGAUUCGGAAGUUUUAUCAUCAGAAACGACUUAUGAGUACAAGAGUGAUCGUACUCAUAAGAGUAUAGGAGCCGAACUAUA
RNAcentral lists this long non-coding RNA (46204 nucleotides) under Ananas comosus (pineapple). RNAcentral describes it as "long non-coding RNA (ACOM_LNC002998)". Lineage: Eukaryota; Viridiplantae; Streptophyta; Magnoliopsida; Poales; Bromeliaceae. The record is from RNAcentral.